UUUGAACUAAAAGCGCCGUGCGUACAUGAAGCCCUUAAUUAUUGAAAUGGCAAAUGUUUAGCCCGCUUUAAAAAUGUAAGUAGUAGUAAUUUAAUUGCAAGUUUCGAACGUCCCAGAACAACAAACGGAUCAAAACAGAGCAAUACACAAGCAAGCGCACGUUUAGGCGAAAAUUCAGUAGUCUAGUUUAUGUUCACCGUUUAUAUUUGCCUCCAUACUUCGUUCUCAGAGCGCCUGCUCAACUAAUGCGAUCAAAAUUGUGUUGCUACGAAAUAUACACAUGCUAAAUCUCUGAACCGACUUCCCGCAAAACAAAACAAAAAACUCUGCGCCGACCUUAUGCCAUCUUCAUCUUCCGCGCCAAGCCACUGAAGCAAGCAGCCUCCGUCCGAUAUGGAUCUGACGGCCUUCCGCUUUGUCGUCCGCUGAUGCCGUCCCGCCAGGCUGGCGACAUCACUUCCCACCUUCCUUGUUCUGUUCCCGCUGGUUCCAGAAUUGCCGGAGCUUCUCCAGAAUCGAGUUCGCCCCCGGAUUUUUGUUGUAGCCACGACCGAUGGGUCGAUCCAUUCUGUUGGUUUACUCGCAUUCAGGAAUGGCGGUCAGAUCCGGGGCGAACCUCGGCUGCAUCCUCCCGGCGCUCUUUACGCGCGCCACCGGCCGCCUCUUCACUACCAGCGUCGGCACGGUCUUGUAGGCAAGAGUCUCGUCCACCUCCGGCGGCGGGGCGAACACGAGCGGCGAAACAGAGCCGGCGCGUCUCCUCCGUCCGCCGCUACCAGACGCGUUGGUGUUGGCCUUGCUGACGAGCGCCGCGGACGCUCUGACGGCGAGAGCGGCCACGUCCUCGCGGCGGAGCCCGUUCCUCUUAACCUCGGCGGGGAGCACGAAGUAGAUCUGUCCCGGGCGGAGUUCCUCGCCCCCGCCUACGGCCGCCACGGGACCCUCGAACCCCAUCACGUCGGCGUCGCACAGGAACCACCCGGCGGAGCCGUCUCCUGCCUCCACGGAGUCCUGGAGGGCUUGCGCCACCGUCGCCGGGCGCGGGUACUCGCGCAGCUCCCCCGUUGGCAGCAGCACCAUCGCCGUCGAGGCGGCCAGCCCCUCCGAGCGCACCGCCGCCACCGCCGCCCCGCCGCUAGACAUGCAGAGCCCCAUUGCCGCGACGUGUUAGUGUAUAUUUGAUGGUCGAGCUGGUGCCGUUGUGAACCGUAUGUAUGAUAUGAUAUUGUUGUCGUUGCUGCUGGAGUAUGUGAGGGGAGGAAUGGUGAGACUGAGAUGGCGAUGGAGUUGGGGGAGAGGGAGCGCUGGUUAUAUAGGAUAGGAGGAGGCGAGGAGGGAGAAGGGGUGGGUUUGUCGCGCAGCUUGGGGAAGAAGGAGCACGACAGGCUGGCGUUUGGCUGGGGCCAGCGUGCGUGCUUGGGCUCCGGAUAUUUUGUUUUUUCUCGAUUAUUAUUUUUAGAUUUUGUUUUUACUGCGGCUUUUUUUUUGGAAUAUUGCCGCAUUUAUUUAAUCAAACGCAUUCGGAAUGUCAUCCGAGAUUACAUCAAGCACACAAUCUGGGGUGACCCCCAACCAAACAUUGCAAAGUUCAUCUCCUACCCCUAUCUUAGCAAGUCUAUGAGCGACAACAUUCGCGGAACGACGAACCCAAGUGACUUUGGAGCUAACGAGCGAAGAAAGCAGCGUCUUCAGCUCUUGAAUCAACGGGCCAGUGGCUGACAUCUCCUUGUGCUGAUUAUUGAGCAUCUUAACUACUCUUUGCGAAUCCAGUUCCACAUGUAUCCUGUCGGCCUGUAUUUCCUGCGCCAAAACAAGGCCUCUCUUGCAUGCAAGAAUCUCUAACACUUCAGGGUCGACCAUGCCCCGGAACAGGUGGCACAGCCCGGCACGAAAGGCCCCAUUCUCAUCCCUUAUCACAGCACCAGCACCCCCCUUGCUCCCUGACCGAGCAACUGCCCCAUCUGAGUUGAGUUUAAGCCACCCCUCCUCUUGAGGCUUCCACUUUUGCUUGAUCUGUUGCUCUCUCGGGGGCUUGUUGUUGUCAUGGACAGCUCUCCAUUCAGCCAUGUGUGUGACCACGCAUUCUAUGAUUUCAUGUGGCGGGGCCAUGCGCUUGCCUUCUCUGGUUUCAUUCCUUGCUAGCCAAAGCUCGUAGGUAGCCUGAAUCAUUGCUCCCCGCUCGUCGUCAGACGCGCCGGCGAACCAUCCCAGGAGCCAGCGAGCCAAAGCACUCUGGGAGUCGAUCGGACACGGUGGUUUGGCCACCAUAACUCCCUUUUCCGAGUACAACAGCUGCCAGAACAAUGCGGAGUGCGGACAGGACCAGAACCGGUGUAGCACCGUUUCUUCCCUCCCACACGCCGCACAAAAAAUCCCCGGCUUGAUUCUCCGUCGGUGCAAUUCGGCUCCCACCGCCAGUCCAUUUCGAAUCAGCCUCCACAUGUGAAUUUUGGCCUUAGGUGGUGCAUUGGUAUCCCAUAACGCCAUGUAUCCUUUAUGCUUUUCAACUGAACUCGAGGACUCCGGCCGUCCGGUCCUCGCAUUAUCCAAUGCCUUCCGCAAAUGAUACCCAGAUUUCACCGAGUAGACACCGUUGGACGUGAAGUUCCAAGCGAGAUAGUCCUCACAGCUCGGACCCCCCGAUCGCUAUUUGCUGUAUAUCUUUGCCGUCAUCCUCCGAAAACAUCAGCUGUCCUCUCCAUAUCCCAGCUACACCCAUCUGGUGUGAGCAAAUGAGCUACCUUGGUUGUACCUGUAACAAACACUUGUCCAAGAGGUUUCAUGCUACCUGCUCGUGGGAUCCAAUUAUCAUGAUGUAUGUUUACCCCAGUGCCAUUCCCAAUGCGCCAAAUGAGCCCCUCCCUUAGCAGGUCCCUCCCCUAGAGAAUGCUACGAAAAGUGAAAGAGGCCGACGCCGGUGCUGUAGCGGACAUGAUGGAGUCUACACUGUAGUAACGAGCCUUGAGCACACGUGCACACAAAGAGUUAGGCUGCUGGAUGAGCCUCCAUGCUUGUUUGGCUAACAACGCUUGAUUGAAAGCCUCUGGAUCUCGAAAACCCAUUCCUCCUUCCCUCUUCGAAGCACACAUUUUCUGCCAUGCAAUCCAAUGUACCUUGCGUUCACCAUGUGUUGCCGCCCACCAGAAUUUAGAGGAAAUUGAUGUCAAGUUCCGGCAUAUUUUCUUCGUGAGCUGGAAACAACUCAUGGUGAAUGUGGGUACAGCUUGAAGCCCCGAUUUGAUUAGCACUUCCCUUGCUGCCUUUGACAAACCCUGCCCCUUCACUCCAUCCACUUUGCCCUUCGCACUUUCAGUCACAUAUUUGAAGGUCCCAUCUUUGGAUUUCCCAACCAGUGUUGGGAGCCCAAGAUACUUCUCACUUAAUGCUUCCGACUGAACGCCCAAGGUGUCCUUCAACUCCUGCUUGUCCUCCUUUUGCUGCCCUUUACCAAAGAAAAUCGACGACUUCUCCAAGUUGACACGUUGGCCCGAAGCCUUCUCAUAUUGCCUCAAGAUCUCUUUCAGCUUUUCCAUAUUACUCCGUGUCCCCUCAAGGAAGACUAUGCUAUCAUCCGCAAAAAGAAGGUGCGUGACAUGGGGGCCAGUGCUCCCGAAAGUCACACCCUUGACCUCCCUCUCCUGUUUUUACUGCGGCUAUCUGGUGUGGUGUGGGAGGAGUAGCGUGCACGUACGUGGUGAAUACUCCGUACUGACCCGGCAGACGGCGGCAAGAAAACUGGAGCACUGCUCCUGCAUAUGUCGUGAAACCGCGGUAGUUACUGAUAGCUCAAUGCACAGUUCGUGCUCAAAGACUCACGCGCUUCAUGUGCCGAUAUAACUGUAAAUUAUUGGCAACCUGAGCACGCACUGCAACACAAGACGAAAACACAUUCCUGUUGGAGCAGCACUGAAAUCAGAUUGACCAAAUCACACUGUCAAUUAUUUAUAGAUUUUGUUUUGCGGGUGACAAUUAUUUAUAGUUGUAUAUAUAGGGUGUUAUAAAACCACGUGUUAUAGCAAUUCGUCGUAUGCGGCUACAAUCAAAAUACUACAAACAUCUUACUCAUGUAACUCAGACAUCUUAAUCAGCAAACAAGCUGCACAACCAGACAUGUUUGCUACUUAGAGUUUCCUUCUCAACUUACUGGCGUCGCCCUCCGCACCAGGUGGCUAUGGCUGCACCGAACCGACCCUAACCGCUCCUGGAAGCAUCUCCACCUCCCGACCGAUCACGAGGCCUCUGUGCUCUUCCGUGCUUCCACGACCUGGACCAUCGACAAUGGCAACACCUGCAAGUUCUGGCAGGAUCACUGGCUCAACGGGCGCUCCAUCCCCGAGAUUGCUCCUACCCUUUCUGCCCUCAUCCCGAGGCGCCGCCGAAGCCAACGCCUUGUCAGCGACGCUCUCAACAACAGAGGCUGGAUCGCCGACAUCCACGGCACCUAACACCCCGCGCGGUCAUCGAAUAUGUCGAGCUAUGGAGGCUACUCCAAACUAUCCAGCUCUUCAACGAACCCGACAAGCUCUCCUGAAAAUGGACAGCCGAUGGGAGCUACUCCGCGCGUUCAGCCUACCACGCAUUGUUCAUCGGUGCCACCACCGCACCAGUCUGGCGGCCCGUCUGGAAGACUUGGGCUCCUUCCAAUGCGAAGAUCUUCCUCUGGCUUGCCUGUCUCAACAGAUGCUGGACCGCCGACCGGAGAGCGCGCCACAACCUUCCUCAUGACCCCAUUUGCAAGUUGUGCAGCCAAGACAACGAGACACUGCACCACCUCCUUGUCGGCUGCGUCUUCUCGCGCAUCAUUUGGCACGACAUCAUGGCAUGGUGCCGCAUUCCCGCCCUUCCCCCUGAUGGCGCUUCCAGCUUCUUCGGCUGGUGGAUGGCAACGACGGCCAGCGUGCGAGCCUGCCUCCGCAAAGGGACGAACUCCAUCAUCAUCCUCACCUCUUGGGCACUUUGGAAGCAUCGCAACGCAGCUCUCUUCGACAAUGCUGCACCCUCCUACAACAAACUUGUCGAGGACAUAAAACAGGAGGCGAAACUCUGGGCAAGAGCCGGCGCCAAAGGGCUCGGUAGGAUCAUUUCUGUAACAUAAGAUGUAAACUAUGAGGCUGAGCAUCCUCCCUCCCUCGCUGCUUAACUAGCGCCUAGGCCCGCCAUCUCAUGUGUACGAGGCCUAAGACGCUCACCCUUGUACUCUUCCCCAACCUAUCAAUGGAAUGAUACGCAACUUCCGUAUUCGGGAUAAACUUACCAAGAAAUCUUAACAUGCAAGAAAAAAACUUACCAUGCAAGUUUUCUUCCUCACCAAGAAAUCUUGCACAUCAAGUUCAAUAAGCGAAGUAAACUUACUUGUUUUUGCCCUGGUCCUUGGUAGUAAGAUUUUCAAUGAGACAUGGCCUUUAAUUGUUGAGGUUUUUAUUUUGCCAUAAAGACUACAAGAUCAGAUUCCUUCGAGUUUUCCUCCAGACCGAACGCACCUUAAUUAAGGACGCUAGUACCCGGGCCCCGGUGAACGUUCGCUGGCACGUAUGACCUCCGCGAACCUGCCGGGUGGCAUUUUUAGUAUUAGGGGUCGUGGCAGUUUUCAGAAGAAAAAACAUGGCAGUUGUUUAUUUUUAGUGCAAUUUCCCUCAAUAAUUGUCAUUCUUUGGCCANNNNNNNNNNNNNNNNNNNNNNNNNNNNNNNNNNNNNNNNNNNNNNNNNNNNNNNNNNNNNNNNNNNNNNNNNNNNNNNNNNNNNNNNNNNNNNNNNNNNNNNNNNNNNNNNNNNNNNNNNNNNNNNNNNNNNNNNNNNNNNNNNNNNNNNNNNNNNNNNNNNNNNNNNNNNNNNNNNNNNNNNNNNNNNNNNNNNNNNNNNNNNNNNNNNNNNNNNNNNNNNNNNNNNNNNNNNNNNNNNNNNNNNNNNNNNNNNNNNNNNNNNNNNNNNNNNNNNNNNNNNNNNNNNNNNNNNNNNNNNNNNNNNNNNNNNNNNNNNNNNNNNNNNNNNNNNNNNNNNNNNNNNNNNNNNNNNNNNNNNNNNNNNNNNNNNNNNNNNNNNNNNNNNNNNNNNNGUUCGCGAGAUAUCAAAUUAAUUCAUCGUGGCAUAAAAAGGUAAAUAGUAAUGCCAUUAUUGUCUCUUUCCGAAAUAGAUCAUAGAACAUUUUAUUCACGAAAUCAAGGAGGUCACAUCGAUUAAAUCAAACAUAUUUGGAGAUGAAACUACGAAUAUAUAAGGAGCUUUGACUUCCCAUAUUAUUUCACCAGAGAAAUGCAAGGAUCUGACAUAUUUAAAAAGGCAAUGACAUCAACAAAUCAAAUCAAAUAUGUCUGGAUCGAUGGAUCAACCAAAUUAUUUGUGUCUUCAAAGAUAUUUUUUAGGUGGAACAAACUAUUGUCACUGCAUUCUGGAGCUUUGUGUUUUAAAACAACUCAAUUUGAUUGGAAACCGAAUGCAAUAAUUCAAAAUUGUAUGUGAUAUUCCAUUUUUUGAAUUUUUUAUCAACCUUGCAUACACCAUGGUGCGUAUAUACAAGUUUAAGUACAUACUUUUUUCACUUAAUGCUUGAUGUGGUAACAGUUAUGAAAAAAAUACAUGUUGUUAAUGGGAGUCGUUCCAAAAAAACAAAACCAUUAUUGUCUAUUUAGUACUUUUAUACCUCUCAAAAGGUAAGAGAUCACUAUGGGCCUUGGAUGAAACAAUAUGAAUGGCUCAAAUCUAGCAACCCUGUGAAGCAAGAUUGAUUAUAGGGCAAGAAAUUGAUGGUUAUAGCCUUCGAUGGGGGAGUUUUGGAAUACAUUGUGUUUGUUUUUAAGUUGCUCACCACAUGGGCCAUACGAUUUGAAAUCAGGGACGUAGCUGGCAUGUAGGCAUUGGGGUCAAUUGACCCCAAUGAAAUUGCUAAAUCCUUCAUUAACUUAGUAAUGAUCACUCGUGAUUUAUAGAAGAUGACCCCAUUGCCAUGGAUAUGACCCCAUCAAGCUUUUUUUCUAGCGUUGUCCCUGUUUGAAAUACAUAGUUUUGUGGGAAUAACUAAUCAUAUUUGGGUGUAUGUGCUGAAUAACAUGCUUUAAGCUAGUAGGCAAUCCAUGUGGAAAAUUUACUAAGGUGCUCCUCUUUAAUGAAGUAACCAACAAUUUGCAACUUGUCGACAUUCAGUUGAAAGGAAGAAAAAUCACUUGGUGUAAUAUGCAGAAAUCCCAUCUCCAUGAGAAACUGGACAGGUUUUUUACUUCUCCUAGUUCAGUUAACUACUCUAACUGCAGUGGUCUUUCCAUUGUUUUUCCUGCGAAAAAACUUUCAAACUAUUCAUCUUCAAUCAUGGCAGUACAACGAACACCAGAAAAUAAUAAAAUUACGUCUAGAUCCGCAUACCACCUAACGACAACUAUAGGCACUGAAGCCAGCCGAAGGCGCGCCGCCGUCAUCACCCCUCCCUCGUCAGAGCCGGACAAAACUUGUUGUAGUAAACAGUUGGGAAGUCAUCAUGCUAAGGCCCCAUAGGACCAGUGCACCAACAGAAACUGACGCCGUUGAAGAGUAGCGUAAAUCGAAAGGAUCCAUCCUGGAAACACAACAACGUAGACGAACUACGAACAGAUCCCAGCAAAUCCAUCAAGGACAAAUCCGCCGGAGGCACACCUCCACAUGCCCACCGGCGAUGCUAGACGCAUCACCGGGAUAGGGGCUAGGCGGGAAGAACUUUAUUCCAUCUUCAGGGAGCCGCCACCAUCUCGUCUUUCUGAGCAGGACACAAACUCUAACAAAACUCGAAGGAACAUCUAAAAACGACGCCCAAAAAUGGGGCCUCAUCGCCUGCAAGCUUUAGAAGGGCCGGGAUCCACCGCACUGCCAUACCCCUAACGCCACCGGAGACGAGGCGGACCAGCGACGCCGACGGGAGGCAGAGAAACCCUAGUAUUAUUUUUGUCGAGUUGAUUUGUAGGCCUCAUCGCCUGCAAGCUUUAGAAGCUCCGUUUACUUCCGAUGAGAUUGAUGAUGCCAUAAAGUAUCUUCCUUCUAAUAAGUCGCUUGUCCCCGAGGGCUUUCACACAUGUAUUAUGAAGGACCUCUAUGAUUUAUGUUCUCAAUUCCAUGAAGGUUCUCACCCACAAAAAAACCAUGAAGGUUCUCUCUGUAUUCAAAGCAUCAAUGCAUUUCUCAUCACUCUCAUUCCUAAAGUUAACGGGCUACCAGGCUGAAUGAUUUUAGGCCUAUGUCAUUGCUAAACUGUAACCUAAAUCUCACUACCAAAUUAUUGGCAAAUAGACUGUAGGAAGUUAUUUUCUAGUAGGUACUUCCUCUGUAAAUAAUAUAAGACGUUUUAGAUCACUACUUUAGUUAGAUAUAAGGCAUUGUAUUAGUUUACAAAGGGAGUACAUGUUAAUCAACAUGUUUUUAUCAAAUAUAGGGCCAUCGAUAAUUCCUUCUGAGAAAUGAUGGAGCCAAGCCUAAAUGGAAGGAUUCAUUGCCCUGAAGAUUUUAUCAUUUCUGACAGACCAGAUGCCCCAACAGCCUACAAUGAUAAUGUCCGUAGCAAUCUCAUGAGGUAGCUUGUCUACUGUGAGACUGAUUUCAUCAUAUUGUGAGAUGCCUCUAUGUUUGUCAGGGAUAAUCUGGUGCCAGCAUUCUGAGGAAAAGUUACAGUUUCAAAAGAGGUGCAUCAUUGUUUGCUCAAUCUUUUCAUUGUAGAGUGCACAAUUAUAAUCUGGUAAAUGCAUUGAUUUUCUGUGGAGUAAAUUUCUGGUGUUCACUCUGUCAUACACUAGCAGCCAAGUAAGGAUCUUAUGCCUGAGUUGUGCAGAGCUUUUCCAUAUCCAUUUGAAAAUCAAAUGGGCAUUACUGGGACCCAUCAUUGCCGUGUACAUCUUUAUGAAAGAAUAACUGGCCGAAUUGCAUUGAUAUAUCCAAACAUCUUGACUUGACUGAGUAGAAUAACUUUGCAAAGUGUCUUUGAAAACUGUGAAUUGCUGGUAUUCCUGGGUGGAUAAUGGCCCAUGGAAGAGAUCUUCCAGAUUGUUGAGAGCCAGAACUUGUUGUAAAGAGCAUUCAGUGUUGAUGCAGAAUGAGUAAAGUUCUGGGUAUCCCAUGCCGAGGCUUUGAUCAUUCCAUCUGUCAGCGCAAAAGAGGAUAGUAUUGCCAUUGGCAGGGUGGCAUCUUGAUAUGAUUUGAAAGUGGGCAUGAGUUUGAUGACAUCUCUCCACCAAAAAGAUCUCACAGCUUUGUCACUUGGUGGGUUGACAGAGUAGUAAGUUUCCCAUAUGAUGUUCACCAAUGGUGUGUCUUCUCUAUUAAGAAAUCUGUGGAGGAAUUUCAUCAAAAGGGCUUGAUUAUGAGUGGAAAUAUCAAGCACUCCAAGCCCACCGUGAGAUUUUGCUAGGCAGACUUUUUCUCAAGCAAUCAUAGGCAUGCCUUUUUCUUCAGAGCCAUAUUUCUUCCAUUAAUAGUGUUUGAGAAGGAUAUUAAUUUUUUGAACAAUUGACUUUGGCAAUGAUUGGGAACACAUGAAGAAGAUUGUAAGGCUUGAAAACACAGAUUUCACCAAUAUCAGUUUAUCUCCAAUGGAAAGCAAAGUGGCACAUCCAGUGAGUCUAUUGGCUAUCCUUUUGAGCAAAGGAGCAUAAUCUUGGGCUCUUGGUCUUAAGAUGAAUGACACAGAAACAACAGUUUACUCUAUCGACGCCUCAGAUGUUGCAAGGCACAAUGUGCUCAAUCUCUCUGAAGUCAAAUUGGUACAAUGUUCAAUCCAAACGGUUUACAAAAGGAAGUCUUCCGUAUGUAAAAAAGUGCACUGAUAGCUCCCAUAUAUGGUACAGUGCACACCACUCCAUAGUUAGCGCAAUGCGGAUCUCUUGCUCAAAGUGCGGUAAGAAAUACUGAUACAUGUAUGCGGUUGUCCUGGUCAUACGACGAAUAGGAGACUUUACUCAUUCGCGUGAAUCCUAAUUUAUGGAGUUAUAGCAUGUUAAUGGGACGCAGCAUCAACCACGUAUAGUUCUCCUGCAUGGCUCGAAAAAAAUGAGCACGGCAUCAAACACCCAUAGUACAUGCACUACUUACUGUAGUUGACGAAAUGAAUGUUUCUUGUUAAACUGGCCAAAAUAUCACACCAACUUCUGGGAAGAGUGCUAUAUACUCCUUCCUUUCCGGUUUAUAGGACUCAUCUAAAAAAAAUUGUUUUUCCGUUUUAUAAGUCUCAAUUCUACUAGUACUUAGAGCAUGGUUCAUAAGAUAGCCUGUUGUUGUCUACUCCCUCCGUCCGGGUUUAUUAGGCCUAAAGACAACUUCUCUUAGACCAAGACACAUAGUAAUUUGCUCACAUUAAUUAUUCCAUUCCACUCCCAAUGCACUCUCUCACAUGCAUGCAGCCAAUGAAAAAGCACACAUGAAGUGUAUUAACUUUUCAGCCAUGGCACCAACAACAAUAGCUUUCAAUACAACCAAUGAAAUGGUUGCAUGCAUGCACCUUUCCAAUGCGGGGCCUUAUAAAAGGGGACAUGCUUGUGAUGCUGAGAGGCCUAAUAAACCCGGACGGAGGGAGUAUAUGUCAAUGCCAUGUCACCUAAAGUUUAGGUAAAAACCCUAUAGUAGAUUGGAUCUAAACUAGCUACUACUAGUAUUUAAAGCUUGUAUGCGGAGGGGAGAAAGAGAUACACGGAUUGGUGGAAAGGAGGCCACCCACCUGCAUGCAGGUUUCUUUUCUUGUUUCUUGUGUUGGAGCCGGCGAUUGAUGAAGCGCCUGCUUCCUUCUCUUUCUUGCCUUCUCUCUUCUCCAACUGUGAUUUUCAUGAUGUGAAAUGGCUUACAGCUAGCUGACUGAACCCUAUUAUGCUUGCUUUUACCAUCACCAAUGCACGUGUAAGUUUAUGAACAAUUAGUGGUCAUGCAUGCAUGUGUUGUAAUUAAUGCAUCGGUAAACAUAACUUUUUGAGAAAAACGAGCGUACAAAUGAAGUAUUUCUGCAAACUAGUAGUAGUAUGAAAUUUGUUCUAUCACUCAUCAUCUAUUUUGAUCGGAGAGAUUUUGAAAUUGAGCCUUAUAAACUGGGAAGGAGGAAGUAUUUUUUUACUGUUGUACUGUAUGAAUGCUACCAGUAGUAAAGGGAUAAAGUGGAAAAGCAGUGGGGCGUCAGUGUGUCAAAAGUCAAAAGCGAGCAAAAUGAAACGGUUUUGCAGAAACUUGUGUGCGUUUUAGCUAGCGGCAGCCAGUGGCCGUGGCUACUCCACCUCGUAGUUAUUGCGCGGGGUUUGUUUCCUCGAGACGGAAACGCGCCAACAGAGACACAUCGCAAAGGCAUCUAAUCGCAAGCGUUGCGUCAUACCCCUGGUCGCGCAUCAGCAUCACGUGGUCAAAGGCGAAGUACAGUAUACUAGGAGGAGUAGCACGGUGCAGGUCGUGUGCUCUUGCCUCUUGGUCUUGGACGGUGCGUUUCCCCUGGGCGAUAUUUACGCUUUCUUUAGAUAACUUUUUUUUUUGCUUUAGGAUUAGGAGGAGUAGGAAGAGUAUGUCCUUUUUCUACAAAUGGGGAAAAACUGACCUACCAGAUCGACCACGCCAUUAAUCAAUCCAACUCUGCACAGUACAGGGAGACGUGUCUCUGCCGGGAUCACAAGAUGGUGUACUGCCGCGACGCUACACAUACACUUUGUCCGGAACAAUCGGGCCAAGAUCCAGAAUGAAAAACAUGUGCCGAUAACAAUAAUGCGGCCAGCAGUGAAAUCAGGAGGACCAAACAACUGUUGCGCUGGGGCAAGCCAGCGACGCAGGCAGCAACGGUGCAUCAUGAGUCCAGGUGAAGGAAUAAUCAGCUUCAGGUUCAGGGGAGGAACAGACAGCAAGCACUGUGCUGAAUUGUUGACUUGUUUAGAUUAAGAAAAAAAACGAGUGCACCUCAUUUCAUCUGCUAGACACUACUGGUGGUAGUAGUACGUGGCGGCGUGCAUGCGCUCCAAACCUGCAGGCGUGCUCGGGCCCGCACGCACGAGGGAGAGCAUCUUCUCGCCUGUCUUUGGCCACGUAGCGUUGGUGCGCGGCUCCCAAGGCGUCGUCACAUUGCUGCUUCUUUGCUACGUUGAGUGGUGUGGGGGCUGAAUCGAUUGGCGCCAGGUGAGGCUGGGUCCGACCCACGCCGCGCCUAGCACACCAAUAAUGUUGGCUACUAACUCCGUCGUAGUUUAUUCCUUUUUAAUUUGUGCCAAAUCUUGACUAAAAACCAACUAAUAAAAUAUUAAUGCAUGUCAAAAAAAUUGUACUACUUGAAUUUGUAUUUUCGAUGAUAUAAUUUUUGGUGACAUGUGUGAACAAUUUUUUAGUUAAAUUUAUAGUUAAAAUUUAGCACGGAAUACAAUAAGGACCAAUAAAUUAAGACGGAGGUAGCAAUACAAUCAAUUGGCUGUGGAAUCCAACAGGUUUUCUCCACAUGUUUUGGACAUGGACAUAUGCAAGCGUUUUUAAGGUUGCCGCGUGUUUCAUAAAUCAUUACAAACAAUGUGGAUACAACACACUCACGCGAAACACAUCUUCAACCGCAACCCGUAAUUUUUUUCCGUAUUCAUCCGCAAAUAGGGGGACCAGUUCACGAACACAGAUGCGGGAGGCAACAAUCCAACCCUAAUCAAAUGCAUCCGGCCUUUUGAUUUUUUUCUUCUAGUCCACACGAUCAAGUAGCCGCAUGCGAAGGGUACAACGUUCAAAUAGCAGCAUGCAGUACUAGUUCAAAUUUUAAGAAGUUCAAAUAUUACAUCCCAACAUAGUUGUCCCCUUUCACCGCCCACUAAUGCUCAAUCAAAUCUUCUUCAGCUUCUUGUGAGUUGGUCGAUGCCGAAUUUGUUGAUGCAUUUAAAUAAACUCCUCAAAUGUGGCCGGAUUCUGGUCCAGAAGUUGGAUAGAAUCAUCCAUGUUCUCAAAUUCUAAAGCUACAACAGCAUCAUCACCUUCAUCCUCGAUGAUCACGUUGUGCAUGAUCACACACCAUGUCAUCACCUCCUAGAACGUUUUAGGAUCCCAUUAUUUAGUAGGUCCACGAACAAUUGCAAAACGGGCCUGCAGAACUUCAAAUGCCCUCUCGACAUCCUUUCUAACUGCUUCUUGUCUUUGGGCAAACUGAGAUUUUUUCUGGCGAACUGCCGCUGCUUGUGCGGCGAUACAGGCCACCGGCGGCCCGAUGGAGCGUUCCAUUGUGUCUUCCUAGUGGCCGCAGGUGGAGGCUCAGGUGGAGGCCACCCGGCCCUCAGCUCAGGAGGAGCCUGUCUCGGGCGUGCAUCCUCGGGCUGCUUCACCGGUGGCUCAGAUGGUGGCGACCCGCCACUCAGCUCAGGAGGAGCCGACUGUGGCGGUGCAACCACGUGUUGUUGUACGGGUGGCUCACGGUGAGCCAGUCGUGUUGGCUGCCUGCGGGCGAGGACCAGUUCGCCCGCCUUUGGAUGUGCAGCCACGUGCCGUUCUGUCGUUGGCCGGCCUUCAGCCGCAUGUGGAGCCGUUCCUUGACACGCUAGACACCACUUCCAUCUCGUUGCUAUACAUCUUCUAGAUUAGAUCUUGCGUGUUCGUAGGAAUUUUUUGAUUUUCAUGCAACGUUCCCCAUCAGAAAAGACUAGUGAACCACUUAAAGCCCUUAGUUCAAAUGUUAAUCGUAUGAAUUCUCUUCUUAUCGUUUGCAACAAGAGACUUAAUACCCUAGAUAAUAAAAUUGUUUCAUUCUCUGAAAUUAAUGGGAAGCGUAAAGAACCUCCAGGCUUUGAGUUAAGCUCGUCUAGGGUAGUUAAAAUGAAGGAUGACAAUACUUGAAACAAUGCCUUACGCCUAGCUAGGAGCGUAAAACAAUAGCGCUGUUGGGAGGCAACCCAAUAGUUAUCUUAUUUUUAUUUUUGUUUUUGAGUGUUCACACAAUUAUGCUACUAUUAUGAUUGUGUUUUUAUGCUUUAAUUAGUGUUUAUGCCAAAUAAAGCCUUUGGGACGAUUUGGUUGAUAGCUGACUUGAUUUUGUGAAAAAACAGAAACUUUUGUGCCCAUUACAAUAAUUUUUAUAAUUCACUAGAACACGAUAAAAUUCUGAAUUCUUUUACACAUUAUUGAUAUAUAAAUUUCCCAUGUUGUCCUAUUUUUUCAAAAAAUUGGAGUUACGAAAUUAUAGUGUUUUUUCAUUUCAUAACAGACUGUUUUGUUUUACACAGAUUAUGUUUUCUAUUGCAUAGUUUGAUUGUUUUAAUGAUGCUAUGGAUUAUAUCAGGGAGUAUAAGUCAUGGAGAAGUUACAAAACAGUAGCUAUUAUGCAAUAAUAAAAUAUGAAUGGGCUCAUAACAACACCUAAAGUUUAUGAUUUGUUUAUUAUACUAACGGAUCUCACGAGGUUUCUCUUGAGUUUUGCGUGCUGAAGUUUUCAAGUUUUGAGUGAGAUCACGACGGAUGAAGGAAUAAGGGGCGACAAGACCCUAAGCUUGGGAUUCCCAAGGAACCCCAAGGUAAUAUCCAAGGAGACCCAAGCAUCUAAGCUUGGGGAUGCUCUGGAUGGCAUCCUCUCUUUCGUCUAAAAUCCAUCGUUAUACUACUUGGAGCUAUCACUACUAGGGAAAAACCUAGCAGUAGCGCGGGUAUUUGGUGUAUUAGUAGCGUGGGUACCCGCGCUACUGAUAAGGCGCUACAGCUAACGUUUAGCAGUAGCGCGUGUUGACACGCGCUACUGCUAUACCUACUUAGAAGUAGCGCGUCCCAUACCAGCGCUACUGCUAAGUGUUUUAGCAGUAGCAUUUUCCUGUCUAGCGCUAAAGAGCGCUACUACUAUAUUUUAUCAUAUCUUUUCUUUGCUGCGUAUUUGUGAUGUUUUUGUAUAGGUUUUAUACAGUAUUCUAAUCAUAUCAUAAACAUGCAAUAUGUUCAUCAUAUCAUACACAUAAUAGUCUCAUCAUAUCAUCCAACACAAAUCAUGUCGUCACAUCAUAAUCACGAUAUAGCUAUACAAGUUACAUGACAUGUCUCAUCAUACAUAAUGUAGUACUUCUUGGGGCGUCGGUUCGUAUCCCUCUCCCGCACUAGCGUGAACCUAAACUAACCACUGGAUGUCGCUCCAAAACCGAAAACCGAUACACCUGGGCCUGACACUCCGGCCACUCGUCGUAUACUCUUGGCAUAUCACUUCUUCGUCAUCGAUGAUCUAUGCACCUGCAUCGUCACAUGAGUCGAUGAUAUGCAACAUAUAUAGUUGAGCAACAGAAAGAGACAGACUUGGCAAAAAUAGAAGCAACAUAUCAUAAGCAUAAAUAAUAAAGUUCAUCAUACCCAAAAUGCCCUAACUGGAGUGAUCUUCGCAAGUUAAGGAGGACGGUUUAAUUACAUCACAAAUAAAAUUUUAUCGUGCACAACUCAAAGUUUCGUCAUUCAGAAAGUAUGGACUAAACGGACACAUUGUCAUAUAUCGACAAUCACUCCAACAUGUCGCGCCAUCCAUCCAAGUUAGGGAGAUAGUCCCCGAGCUUAGUGAAAGGCUUCAGGUCGAGACGCUGAGCGGCUACGCGUGUUCGGACGUCUUCCCGUGACAUUUGCCCUUCCAUGUAGAACAUCCCUGUUUUUUCGAGGACCUCCUUCAUGAUGAUUUGGGCAAGUUCACACUGGAUGUGAUAGAACUCAACUCGAAGUCGUUGAUCCAGGAUAUCUCCUACGUUCUUUGCCCAUUGCAAAAUAUGGGCAUCGUCGAAUGUAGGUGACAUGCGAAGUUCUGCUGAUCCUGUCUAUACUCCAGCAUGUGGUGUAGGACAUAUAAUCCAUCACUAGGAGUAUCACUCGGUUGCUGGAUGCAGCAGAAGUCAGUCUUAUGGCCGAAGGCGGGCCUGUCGUUCCUUUCCUUCUUGGUCUUGAUAUCUCCACCCCGUACGCUGUAGUAAAAGAUAGCACUGUCGAGAACAGAGUUGAUGUGGGUGUAAUCCUUUUUGUUCAUGUUCUUCGAUGAGUCCAAGUAAAGAGCGUGGGAGUAUCGGGGGUAAAGGAUGAUGAGGAUGGCGCGCCCGCCGCUGCGCAAAAUAAGUACACCUCAAAUAAAUUAGCCUCUACCGUGCAAAUGAAUGAUUGAAAUCGAAGGAAGGAUAUCCGCGUGGAUGACUUACAUGGGAUGAUAAGGCACGAGAAUCGUCUCCUUGUCCUUAUUGGCGAAAAUGAAAUCGACGAUGUAGUCCCUCGCGUGUUCACGGUGCUCUGCGCGGUCUGCCAAGAAGCCCUCGUGCAUGAAGUACGGGUCAGCGACACAGAUAUAAGGUAUCUGCUCAAUCCCGAUGAUGUAGUUCAUGUACAAGGCAUAAAGGCGGAGAAACGUAAAAUCCAGCUUCUUCAAGUGAAACAUGUCGAAGAUGUAAUCGAAUCGAAGGAAGAACUUCUCCGCGGGGAAUGUGUCGAUGUACGACCUUUGUCGCGACACGUUAACCACGUAGAGUGGCUAUCCUGGAUUUUCCGAGGCGAUGAGGCUUUACUCUCUCCGUAGCACAUCGUCAUAAAGUCUCCUUAGAUUGUCGUAUAUGGCCUCUAUCGCUGCCUUAGGUAGGAUUGGUUCACCGGGGAUAUGCCAUUUUGCCGCACCGGGGAUAGGUAUACGGUCUUGAACCCGAGGCUGCUGAGGCGGCUUGACCAUAGAAGCAGCUUUGUUGCCUUUCCUCGGUCUCUUCCUAUGCUUCUUUGCUACCGAAAGGUCGUCUAUAAUACGUUCAUCCUCCGGCAAUUCAGGCACCGACUCAUGACGCUCAAACCCUGAGUACUCAUACCGCUGAGCCAUUAAUCUUCCAUCAUCAUAGGCGCCAGUAUUGAGAUACUGUAGAGUGUCAUCAUCAUCCUCGUCGAUGGCAUCAUGCAUUGCUUCUUCGAUGGCGGCGACAUCAUCAGCGACUAAUGGAGCCUCUUCCUCACCCCGUCCACUAUCACCCGGCACGACAGGUGACGCUAAUUGGGUAGGUGGGGUGUUGAUGUUCAUACCUUGCUGAGGCUGCGUGGUCGUGGUGGGUGUCCCGGCUGCCUCCAGACGAAGCAAACUCUUUGGCCACAACAUGACCCAAGUCUUCCAAUCGCCAAGCCUCCGCGGGGUCUCGUCGUCAUCUCCCCCUAGUACCGGAGGAGCCAAAUUCUCGUGGCCCGGUUUGACACUGGCCACGGAAACCUUGAAGACGUCAGGGGGAUCGGCCCGCUGUGGAACAAGGGUUCCUUCGGAUCACUAUCGUUGCCUUCCCCACGUCCACCUUCUGGCCGCUGAUAGUGUACAGUAUGGUGCAGGGGUUUCCUCGACCUGCAAAGACAUGUCUGCGACGUGAGACAUCUGAAAGGCAACGAAAACGGGAGAUUAUACAUUUAUUGAAGAGGGCCAGUGUGACAGGUACCGUGAGGGCGUCGAUCUUAGCCAAAGUAGAAGCACCGUCGAGCAUGUCCGAGACAGAGGAAGGGCUGCUAUGAGCAGGUGCAGGAGCUAGUGCAGGAGCUGGUGCGGGAGUCGGUGCAGGAGCAGGUGCUGGUGCAACGCUAGUUGAGCUGCUCUCGAAGAAGUUGGCAAGGGGAAAGUCCGCUGCAUUUUGGAUUUUGCCUGCUCCAACAAACGAUAGCCAGAACCAAGACACCACACGUAGCUGCCAUCUCCCGUUUUGCGGCAGCUACCGCUGCUUUGACUGUCUCACCUGAUUUUUUCUCAACCGCAAUCUCAACCUUCUUGUCGAUGUUUUCUUCAGUUAACCUCCGUCUUUCCUUUCUCUCCUCCGUGGUCUCACGACAGUAAUUCUUCCACGUGGCGCCAUCUCCAACGUCGUGCACGCGUCCAUACGACGGCCGAAUGUCCACCGGGAGUCCUUUCAAUAUUUUCAAGGCCCGGUUGAAUAGGGUGUCCCACUUGGGCCUCGCCAACGCCUCAGACGGCGAGUCGCUUUCGGCCGCGAUCCUGUGCUGCUCUCUCUACAAAAGGAACAAGGAUGUUUACAAAUAUGACUAAAUGUGCAGUCGAAUUGAUCAGAAGCUAAAAUUAGGGGGUAAAUUAAAAAUGGGUUUUUUAUUUCCGUGCCCCUGGUUCCUUAGCUCUACUCAUUCAUCCCCACUCUGUUAACUUUUGCUCACUUUUCCCCACUCCCUUGUCCAAAACCCUCAGAACAGGUUACAACGGACGUUGCCGUCGGGCUAAUGCCUUUGACCAUUAACUGUGACGAGUGGGGCCGCGUAGGGCCGAGUACACCUUUGACCGUUACCCGUAUAGUUGUUUCGUAUGCUGACCGUACAUGUAUUCGUAUACGUGGGCACAUGCAACGGACCAUGGUCGUGGGGUAGGACGUGUCCAUAGGACAUGCCUGAAACGUCCCAUCGUAUAAAGAGGGGCAACCACCUCCAUUGCCCCCUACCAUUUUCCCUCAAAUCUCGUCCCUGCUGCAUCGUCUUCCUCUCCCCCACCGGCGUCGUCUCGCUCUCCCCCACCGCAUCCUCUUCCUCACCUUCAUCGCCUUCACCCGGAGAAGGCCGAAGCCCGUGGCGACGCCGGCGCAGUGGCCGGAGAUGUGGUUGAGCUACAGGGCAUGGUGACCGCGGAUGUCGGCGGCGUCCACGGUGGUGCGGGGAAACUCGCAACCGCUGCGGAUGUGGAGAAGGAGGUGGCGGGCUCCGCCUCAGCGCUGCAGAAGGUGAUGGCGUCGAGCAGAGCAGUCAAAUCCGAUACCCCCCAUGCGCAACCUAGCGAGGAGCAGGAGGUUUUUGCACUUGCUUUACUUUAGGAUAUUAGCUUGUAGAGUUAGUUGGAUUGGUUAGAUUGUGGAUUCAUACUAUAUUUCAGAUGGUUAGAGUAGUUGGUUUGAUGGAUGGGACGGGGUUUUCUGUAUUGGGGGGAUGGGGGGGGGGGUUUGUACUAGGGUUUGUUGGAUAAAUUCAUUGCAAAAAUGCUAGAUAGAUAUGUUUAUUAGAUGUGCUUCCACUACUGCAGGAUGCUGCUAACGCGACACUACGAUCAGAGACCCUUCGACGAAACUGUGUGCGAUGCCAUAAUCGUAAACGGUGGUGUAAAAAACCGUCAAAAAGGGUGCAAAACGUUUGCGAUGGCGGAGCCAUCAAACACGGUUCAGAUUUUAGUUGCCUGUGCGAUGAAGGGCAUACGGUUCAGUUCAAUUAACUGUUUGCGAUGAGGAGGAACAAAAGAAAUGCGCAACCAGAUGGAGGUGUGUGCGAUAUACAACAUACGGUUCACUAGGAUGAACUGUUUGUGAUUACGCAACACAAAAGAAACGGCCAGCCAGAUGAAGGUGUGUGCGAUUUACGGCAUGCGGUUCACUCGAAUGAACUGUUUGCGUUGAGACAUGAGAAAAAAAUGGUUCAACUUAACAAGAUGUGUGUGAUACGCGGCAAACAGGUCUGUAAUCAGAAACGUGUGUGAAGACCGAUAAUAACACAGACGGUUGUGGCUAAUAAGACGUGUGUGUUGUGCGAUGGGAUUGCAUACAGAACAACAAUACACGCACACACACACACACACACACACACACACACACACACACACACUUAUAAGGACAUGCUUGCAUAACCAAAUUAAACAUCCACUUACAUAGGUGGUUACUACAACCAUGGCAUUUGCACACGCCAAAGUAAGCUAUUUGUGAGGGAAUAAGCCGUGUGUGUUGCGGGCUAACGCUUGCUGGUAUAUAACCUUAAAUUUAACCAACAAAGUGUUAAUGCAUGUUACAAAAAUUGUAUAGCUGGAAACUAUGUUCAAAUACGACUCCAACGAUAUAAUCUUUGGCGACAUGCAUUCGUAUUUUAUUAGUUAUAUCCUACUUAUAAACCAGGACGGGGGUAUAGUUGGUAAUUAAAUCGCAAACGUUUUUUUAUUAACCAUAUGUGUACGUGUCCUUUCGUCCUCCUCUCGCACGUCUUGUCACCCCGCUGCCGCAGACGGCUUACAGCGCAAGUUUGCGCAGCGUGCGGGGGCGUUCUUUUGGCCAAACAGUGGCACGCCAAUGAAUCGUCGGUGAGCCCGUUCCCACGCAACCUCGCAGGUUCCCGCGCAAGAUUCCCGCCCGAGUCGGUGAAAUCCCCCAAAAUCCCAAUGCUUACCGGCCUGCUAUAAAAACCCUCACGGCUGGCGAGUCCUGCGUCGCAUUUUCCCCUCCCUCCCUGUAGCUUAUCUCGUCUGCUUCUCCCACAAUCGCCAAUGGCACCGGUCCGUCCUCGUCGCUCAGCCACUCUGCCUUCAUCAGAGGACAGCUCCAGCUGGGAGGCUACCCCGCGGCGGCGGCGCAAUCCCCAGCGUAGUGUAGUGCACGUGGCAUCCCUGUUGGGUGUGCGCGGAACACCCACCACACGCUCCGCCGCCGCUGCCCAUCGGCAGCUGUUGCCGAUCGCCGUUGCCGCCACACCACCGUCGAAAGCCAGGGCCAUCUCCCGCUCCGCCGCCGCGGCCCGAAGGCGGGAGGUGGCCGUCGUGGCUGCCACCCCACUGCCAGCCACCGUGGCCAUCACCCGCUCCACCACCGCGGCCCGAAGGCGGGAGGUGGUGGUCGUGGCCGCCACCCCAUCAUCGGCCGCCGUGGCCGCCAGCCCACUGUCGAUCGCUAGGAUCAUCACCCGCUCCGCCACCGCCGCCAAGGAGGGAGGCGGAGGUGGAGUCCCGCACGUGUGUCAGCGACCUUGCGCGCUACAUCGAGUUCCUGCGGGAGGAGGAGGAGCGCCUCGUCGAGCAUGCAAAGAGCCUUACCGCAGCCGUGGCUGCAGCACACACCAACGCAGAAGCGAGGAAUCAGGAGAUCUACGAGCAGUCCGGCCGCUUCGAGAGGGAUCGUCUGGAGCGGCAGUGGGCGUUCGAGCUGGCGAGCGCCGCUGAACGUGCAGCAGCGGCAGGCACCGUAUUGCAUUUCUCCAGCUCGUCGGUAGGCUCGUCCUCCUCCUCUGCCUCUUACUGAGCGCGCUCGGCAGAGGAGAGGCUGCCGGAAGUAGCACAAAGCCCCUCUGUGGUAGUAGUAGUAUUUAGGGGCUAUUUUGUUCAGUUCAUCUGACUAUAGAUGUGUGGUUGAACUGUACAACGUACUUAAAAUUAGCUAGUAUAUAUAGUUGAACUAGCUAUUUCAGUACAUGGUUGGCAACAAUUGGGGAAAAGAUUGGUCGGUUCAACUGUUGUCGGAUUUCUGGUUCCGGCAAAACCUUUGAGGUUCGAACACUGGGGUGCGCACGAAGAUCUCUCCCUGCCUAGAUCGCCCUCACCACAUCUCAAGGCCUAGCUCGGCGAACCCGCAGAAAGAGACACAAGAGUUUAUACUGGUUCGGGCCACCGAUGUGGUGUAAUACCCUACUCUAGUGUGGUGUGGUGGAUUGCCUCUUGGGCCGAGGAUGAAUAGUUACAAGGGAAGAACAGCCUCCUGAGGAGAGGUGUUCUUGUGCUUGGUGGUGGCUCUGUUCGGGAUGAGAUCCAGAUUAGGAUGAGCUCGAGUUGCCUCCUACUGUGGUGGCUAGUCCUAUUUAUAGAGGCCCUGAUCCUCUCCCCAAAUAUUGAGCGGGAAGGAUCCAACAACGACCAAAUUUGAAGGGAGACAACUAGUACAAGUUAUCCCGACUAAAGGUGGUCUUCGCCUGCCAAAGGCUCUGGUGUUGACGCCGUCUUGGGCUCCACGAUGACCUCCAUCUUGCCGUCCUGCUGGUCUUGGUCUCGUUGCACCGAUAUGGAAACCUUUGCAUGAUGCCUCGGGACUCCUCGCCUGCGCUUGCCCCUUUAGCACCAAAGAGGAAACGAGGACACUGCGCGCGCUGGCACCCGCCUGGCUUCGGUCGUCAUGGCUUGCGUCACAGGAACCUCGCGAGGUGUCCCUUGCCUUGAUCUCUCCGUCCCUUGCGAGCCAGCCUGGUCCCCCGAGGAGGUCUUGUGUCGUCCACCUCGCGAGGCUUGGCCCCUCGCGAGGGUCUUGAGUGUUUGUUGGUGAAGAUGGGCCGUACAGGGCCGCUGGUGGAGCCACGCAGUGGGCCACAGGCAGGCAAGUCUGGGGACGCCCGUUCCCAGGACGCCGACAGUAGCCCCCGGGCCCAAGGCGUGCUCGGACUUGGCUUCGGGGCGAAGCCAAAGGGAAAGUGUAGAGCGCCGCGGGUCCCAACAGCCUGCGGCCCAGCUUGACACGUGGCGAUUGAUUGGACGUGGGCGUGUCCGCUUCCCCACGGUGCCUUGGCAACUGCCCGUCUGACAAAAGGCUGGCGCGGGCAACACUCACCUUCAUUGCUUUCCUUUGUCUUGCUCCAGAUCCCCUUUCUCGCCCCUCACUUCUGAAACCUCCAGACCUGCUUCAAUCUCCCUCCGAGCCAGCCACCAAUGGCGCCCCGGAAGGUCAAGACUUCUUCGUCGCCCGCCUGGUACGAGCCGGCUCUGGAUGCGCCCAAUGUCUCGGAGAAGAACCUCGCCGCCACACGCCUGCUGACGGCGGGGGAGAGCAACGAGAGGGGGAAGACCGAGCUCCGGGCUGGCUCUACCGAACCAGAGGCUUCGAAGAGCACCUUCUACCCCUUCUUCAUGAGCAGCGUCGUCGCGGGCCUAGUUCCCCCCUUCUCCGACUUCUUCUACGCCGUCCUCCGCCAUUACGGGUUGCAAGCUCUCCAUUUCCAUCCCAACUCUGUUAUUCUCUUGUCGAUCUUUGCCUUCUACUGUGAGGCGUAUGUCGGGAUGAUGCUGUCCAUGGCACUGCUGCGCCACUUCUUCUUCCUCCGAAUCAACGGCGGCCACACCUCAGGGUGCGCCAACUUCAUCGCAGUCGCCAAGGCCAACGCGAUCUCGAAGGCCGGCAAGAAGGCCGAUGGCUUCAGGAGCAAGUGGGCCAUGAUGGAUGCCAUGUGCGUCCACCCACAGUUGAAGCUGCCGACGAAGAUGCCCCAGUCUGAUCAGGGGUGGUCCCGCGCAAAGCUUACUCACGAUCGGGCAACGCCGGUGCUGGAGAAGAUGACCGCCGAUCUGAGGCCGGGCAACGCGAAGGCGGCGAAGCUGACGGGGGCCAUGCUCCUGAGAGAAUUCCUGAUGUUGUGGGUGGCUCCACUCCAGGCACGCUCGCGCCCCUUGUGGACGCUUGGGGGUGCAGAAGACAAGCUCCGCCUGAGUCCGGAGGCCUUGUCCAACGAGGAGCUCGCUGUGGCUCUCCGCCUCUUGGUCGGGGACGACCAAGAGUAUCCGCCGAGUGCCAUCGUCCCCCUGUUCCGUCGCAAGGACGGGGCACAGGUUGCGGCCGCCAUGCCCGCCUUUGACGAGUGCGGCCUGGUGCCGCCGGCGCCCCUUGUGGUCUGAUAACCCACAAGUAUAGGGGAUCGCAACAGUUUUCGAGGGUAGAGUAUUCAACCCAAAUUUAUUGAUUCGACACAAGGGGAGCCAAAGAAUAUCCUUAAGUAUUAGCAGCUGAGUUGUCAAUUCAACCACACCUGGAUAACUUAUUAUCUGCAGCAAAGUAUUUAGUAGCAAACUAAUAUGGAAGUAACGGUAACGAUAGCAAAAGUAAUAUUUUUGGGUUUUAUAGUGAUUGUAACAGUAGCAACGGUAAAGUAAAUAAGCGAAGAACAAUAUGUGAAAAGCUCGUAGGCAUUGGAUCGGUGAUGGAGAAUUAUGCCGGAUGCGGUUCAUCAUGUAACAGUCAUAACAUAGGGUGACACAAAACUAGCUCCAAUUCAUCAAUGUAAUGCAGGCAUGUAUUCCGAAUAUAGUCAUACGUGCUUAUGGAAAAGAACUUGCAUGACAUCUUUUGUCCUACUCUCCCGUGGCAGCGGGGUCCUAACGGAAACUAAGGGAUAUUAAGGCCUCCUUUUAAUAGAGUACCGGACCAAAGCAUUAACACAUAGUGAAUACAUGAACUCCUCAAACUAUGGUCAUCACCGGGUGUGGUCCCGAUUAUUGUCACUUCGGGGUUGCCGGAUCAUAACACAUAGUAGGUGACUAUAGACUUGCAAGAUAGGAUCAAGAACUCACAUAUAUUCAUGAAAACAUAAUAGGUUCAGAUCUGAAAUCAUGGCACUCGGGCCCUAGUGACAAGCAUUAAGCAUAGCAAAGUUAUAGCAACAUCAAUCUCAGAACAUAGUGGAUACUAGGGAUCAAACCCUAACAAAACUAACUCGAUUACAUGAUAAAUCUCAUCCAACCUAUCACCGUCCAGCAAGCCUACGAUGGAAUUACUCACGCACGGCGGUGAGCAUUAUGAAAUUGGUGAUGGAGGAUGGUUGAUGAUGACGAUGGCGACGGAUUCCCCUCUCCGGAGCCCCGAACGGACUCCAGAUCAGCCCUCCCGAGAGAGUUUAGGGCUUGGCGGCGGCUCCGUAUCGUAAAAUGCGAUGAAUCUUUCUCUCUGAUUUUUUCUCCCCGAACACAAAUAUAUGGAGUUGGAGUUGAGGUCGGUGGAGCUUCAGGGGGGCCACGAGGCAGGGGGGCGCGCCCAGGGGGGGCAGGCGCGCCCCCACCCUCGUGGCAAGGGUGUGGGCCCCCUGGCCUUGAUUCUUUCGCGAGUAUUUUUUUUAUUUCCAAAAAUAAUCUCCGUGGAGUUUCAGGUCAUUCUCAGAACUUUUGUUUCUGCACAUAAAUAACACCAUGGCAAUUCUGCUGAAAACAGCGUCAGUCCGGGUUAGUUCCAUUCAAAUCAUGCAAGUUAGAGUCCAAAACAAGGGCAAAAGUGUUUGGAAAAGUAGACACGACGGAGACGUAUCAACUCCCCCAAGCUUAAACCUUUGCUUGUCCUCAAGCAAUUCAGUUGACAAACUGAAAGUGAUAAAGAAAAACUUUUACAAACUCUGUUUGCUCUUGUUGUUGUAAAUAUGUAAAGCCAGCAUUCAAGUUUUCAGCAAAGAUUAUGAACUAACCAUAUUCACAAUAACACUUAGGUCUCAUGUUUACUCAUAUCAAUGGCAUAACCAACUAGCGAGCAAUAAUAAUAAAUCUCAGAUGACAACACUUUCUCAAAACAAUCAUAAUAUGAUAUAACAGGAUGGUAUCUCGCUAGCCCUUUCUGAGACCGCAAAACAUAAAUGCAGAGCACAUUUAAAGAUCAAGGAGUGACUAAACAUUGUAAUUCAUGGUAAAACAGAUCCAGUCAUAGUCAUACCCAAUAUGAACUAACAAUAAUGAAUGCAAAUGACAGCGGUGCUCUCCAGCUGGUGCUUUUUAAUAAGAGGGUGCUGACUCAACAUAAAAGUAAAUAGAUAGGCCCUUCGCAGAGGGAAGCGGGGAUUUGUAGAGGUGCUAGAGCUCGGUUUUGAAAUAGAGAUAAAUAAUAUUUUGAGCGGCAUACUUUCAUUAUCAACAUAACAACCAAGAGAUGGUGAUAUCUUCCAUGCUACACACAUUAUAGGCGGUCCCCAAACAGAAUGGUAAAGUUUAUACUCCCCCUCCACCAACAAGCAUCAAUCCAUGGCUUGCUCGAAACAACGAGUGCCUCCAACUAACAACAGUCCCGGGGGAGUUUUGUUUGCAAUUAUUUUGAUUUGAUUUGCAUAAAGCAAGGGACUGGUCUCGGUGUCAAAACCGGCGGAUCUCGGGUAGGGGGUCCCGAACUGUGCGUCUAAGGCGGAUGGUAACAGGAGGCGGGGGACACGAUGUUUACCCAGGUUCAGGCCCUCUCGAUGGAGGUAAUACCCUACUUCCUGCUUGAUUGAUCUUGAUGAUAUGAGUAUUACAAGAGUUGAUCUACCACGAGAUCAUAGAGGCUAAAACCCUAGAAGGUAGCCUAUGGUAUGAUUGUUGUUGUCCUACGGACUAAAUCCUCCGGUUUAUAUAGACACCGGAGGGGACUAGGGUUACACAGAGUCGGUUACAAUGGAGGAGAUCUACAUAUUCGUAUUGCCAAGCUUGCCUUCCACGCCAAGGAGAGUCCCAUCCGGACACGGGUCGAAGUCUUCAAUCUUGUAUCUUCAUAGUCCAACAGUCCGGCCAAAGGAUAUAAUCCGGCUUUCCGAGGACCCCCUAAUCCAGGACUCCCUCAGUAGCCCCUGAACCAGGCUUCAAUGGCGAUGAGUCCGGCGCGCAGAUUGUCUUCGGCAUUGCAAGGCGGGUUCUUCUCCAAAUUCUGAAUAUUUGUUUGAGUAGUGUCCGGCUUCCCAUAAAUGUUGCACUGCUUGGCUUCCGCGCCUAAUAAUGGAUAUCCUCCACGCGUCGAGCGAAUGCGAGAAGUCGGGGCAUUUUUACAAUUGCCACCCUAGCCAUGUGGGUAAAUUGUCUAUUAAAGAGACGGGGAUUCUCAGAUCCAGAUCACACCAUCCUCCCACAGCGAGUAUCCAUCGGAGCGCGCCCGGAAAAAAUACAUUCCAACAUAGCCGGUCGUCGCAGCUCCUCCUCUCGCUCCCGUAGCCCUAAGCCCGGCAAUUGGAAGAAGUGUUCUGUCCCCCACAGCCAAUUAGUAGAGUUACAAACCCAGGGGUUUCUCCCUCCAGCGUAUAUGGUCCCCGUUCGAGCCGGGCUCGCCACCUAUAACGGCGGGGAGCAAGCGGAGAUCUUUCCCAGCCCAUCCAUGGGGGGGCUGGUAUGCCUCGUCCCUUACUUAUUAAGAGGGCUUGGAUUUCCAAUUCAUCCGUUCCUCCGCGGGCUCCUGGAGUUCUAUGGCCUCCAGCUGCAUAAUUUCACUCCCGCCUCCAUAUUACACAUUGCUGGCUAUGUUUGCGAGGUGUUUCUGGGCUGCGAAGCUCAUUUCGAGCUAUGGAAGAGGCUAUUCUGCCUCGUACCCCAUACACAGGAGGGGUCACUGUACCAAGUGGACGGAGCCGAAAUAUGGCGCAUCGCCGGGACCGGAUACCUGUCCGGUACUCCGAAGAAGACAUCCGAGGAUUGGCCUUCGGAGUGGUUUUACAUGGAGGACGUCCCCCUUCCGAACCCUAUUCGGAUGGGCCUCCCUGAGUUCGACAACGCUCCCCUGAAGAAACGCCGCAGCUGGCGCCCUCGGAGCCCUCAGGAGGAAGAUAACGGAGAAGUCCUUUACCUGAUGGGCCAGAUAAAAAUGCUGGCUCAAUCAGGACUGACAAUAAUCGAGGUUAUGUCAAUAUGUAUAAUGCGGGGGGUACAACCACUUCAAUAUCGAGGGCACCCCAUGUGGCACUUUAACAGGGAAGAUGAUGCCACCCGCUGCGGGCAUAAGGGACCGGACUCAGUUGCUGCUCUAGCAAAAAUCCUGUCCGAUUUGUACAAGGGAGAGGAAGAGGAGUUCAUCCGCAUUAAGCCACGGGAUGGAUUCUCCAUGUACAACCCUCCAAGCUGGGUGAGCUGUCACUUUUUACUCCCAACCUUCCCGCAUUCUUCGUCAUAAGUACUUACCUUGCCGUUUCAUGCCAGGAACUGCGAAAAGCUGUAAGGGAGGUCCACAGCCCGCCUCCACAACCGGAGGACCCUGACCGGGCCCUCGAUCCCGGACUCGAAGAGGAUCCGGACAUAUUUUUGGAGCUGAUCAACAUGAAAUUCUAUCAAUUGAGCUGCGAUGAUGCCAUGGUGGCCAUCAUAGCCGACUAUCCUGGGCUACUCCCUGCAUCGCAUGUAAGUAAAACCGGAGUCCCAACUUCCGAGAAGGAUCCCCUUUUCUGCACUUCACCUACCGUACACAUAUGGUGUCUUACAAGGAAGGCCCUCGGGACGCCAUGCCGAACCCGCAGUGACUCGCCAACAAGGGGCACCGAAGCCGGGUAGGCUAAAAAGGAAGGCGGUCAGGACUGAGACGCCGUCGCAGAGGUAUGAUACAGAACCUCGCUCCGUGGUUGUCGUCUUUUAAAAUAUAAUAACGUCCACGUUUCCUAGUAGGAAAAAUGCUCGCCGGACUAUAUCCGGAGAGGUUGCCGAUCACGCCUCCACCAGUCGGGCUCCAGGGCCGGACAUAGAGGCGGAAGCUAACACGGGGCGAACGCCGGAUGCUCCUCCUACAGAGGAUGCGGAUAGAUUAUCCGCUACAAAUUCCGAAGUGGAGAGCGCCAUGAAUCACAGGCGUCGCCGGGCCGUACUCCGUGACGCUUGUUUCUCCCAAGAGGCGUUUGAUGCCUUCAACUCAGGAGACGCGUACAUCCGUGCUGCUCAAAAUGGUCUUGCCAGAGCCACGGACCAGUAUGUAAAGGAUAUACGGGUAAGAAAAUCUGAUGAUUAUAUAUAUCAGUAGCCCCUGAGACUUGAAACAGUUGACACAACUGAUUUAAGGAUCAUUUGUGCAGGUUCUUACAGAGAAGAAUACCCAAUUGUCUCAAGAGCUGGAAGAGUGCAAACCCCAGCUAUGGGCCGCAGUUGCCGCGCUGAAGGAGUCCGAGAAGGACCCCUCUGGUAACACUUGUCUCUAUUGCAAAGAAUGAAAGGUACCAGAUAGUAUGCGGCAUGCAUGCAAAUCUAAUAAUAGAUUCAGCAGGUGACUCCGGAGUGAAUCCGGAGGUCGUGAUAGGGAACGAGCCACAUGCCCAAUGAUAGCUAAAGGCUGGUGAGCGCGUGCUUAAAAAGGUUAGGCAUGAGAAAAACAAUCUCCAAGAUGCCAAUAUCUAGCUGAGCGUGGAACUGAAGGAUGUUCGGGCCCAGCUUGCUGACUCCGUAAAGGAGAAUAAGAGGCUUCGACGCGGCAUUUUUAGUAAGUGCUUGAACGAACUUUUAAAGAGUUCAGCGAAGAAACCUGCUAACAGACUUAUAUCUGCAGGUAUGCUGACGGGUCGUUCUGAGGAGGAGAUGCCCGGGUCCCUGCCAGAGCUCUCACAACUGCAAGAACAAGUUCGGCAGGUGAUGCAGGGCAUUACCCAAGCCUUGUGGCCAUCCAUCUCUCUGCCAAGAGGCAUGGGGGAGCUUGUAGAGAAGCUCAAGGGAGCGCGGCGGCGCUUCCGAUUAUGGAAGAUAUCAGCCUGCCGACAAGGUGCGAGGGAAGUCUGGGCCAUGGUGAAGACGCGGUAUACCAAGGCUGACCCUAACCACAUGGCCGAGGUCGGACCUGUGGGGCCUAACGGGAAGGAGAUCCCCGUCAGUUUGGUGUAUGACCAAGUAGAAUUAGCCGCAAAGUAUUCCCAACAGGAUUGUAGGUUAGACAGCCUGUUGGAUGGUAUAGAAGAAGAAUUUAGUCAGUCUAAGUGACUGUGUACUUCAAGUGACAUAUAUUGUCCCUAGCCGGAUUGUAAAUCAUUUUUCAUGACGGACCUUUUUGCUUCGACCUCUGGACCCGAUAGUCCAGAGUGUAUCCGAAUACCCGCUCAGUUAUGUAAAAACCGGGGUACGCGUGGAAACCAGGCGUAGGGGUCAUAAGUGCUUGAACAGACAAGUACCCAACUAGCUAUGUUAUAUUACAUGGAUAGUAAGAAACAUCUUCCAGGGAGAGUAGUUCCGUUAAGGGUUCCUUUCCCUGGGUACGCAUGCCCUAAUGUGCAUGUCCGAACUGCGAAAAGAGACGCAGGCUAUAAACAUCUGGGGGCAUAUAUUAAAAUAAAUAAAAGUCAUAUUUUGUUCACCGACCGAGUAUUCCCUUAAGAACGCUAGCUUUCGGCUUCACCCAGUCUGAGGUACACAUCCGGCUGACCCGGCAGUAACAAUCGCAGAGGUGCUCCCCUUAUGCCCUAGCCGAAUUAACGGGAACGUAGGGCAUAAACACAAGAGCCAGGCAACCCAGCUUGGCCAAAACUUAAGUCAUAUCGAUGCAUAUAAUGGCGAAAAAGGUACAUGUGGAAGAAUAACACAUGUGUGGGGCAUCGAGCCCGGAAAAUAGUUAUAUUAAGCUUCUGUAUAAGAAGCCCCCAGGUAUAAUGAGUGCGGUUAGUGUGUCAAGAUUGUGUAGUCAAGACACAAUUUAGCCUUUUAAGGCCUUGAAGAAAAGGAAAAAAUAAAGAGAUAAAAGACAGAUAACGGAUAUUUAAAAAAUUGACAGAGGUAAGGAGACGAACAUAGAGUCCGGCACUAGGCGUAGAACCUUUGGAGUCUGGCUGCAUUCCAUGGGUUGGGCUCGAGUCGAUUGUCCGAUGCAUCCCGCAGACGGUACGCUCCACCGGUCAGAACUUGGUCAAUAAUGAAGGGACCUUCCCAUUUGGGCUUGAGCUUGUUCUUUUUCUUCUCCGGUAGGCGUAGAACGAGUUCCCCAACGUUAUAGGUUUUGGCCUAUACUUCUCUGCUUUGAUAGCUUCGAGCCUGUUGCUGAUAGAAUGUGGAACGGGCUUUUGCCAUGUCACGCUCCUCCUCCAGCGCGUCCAAACUGUCCUGCCGAUCAAGCUCGGCUUCUUUCUCUUCAUACAUGCACACUCGAGGUGAGUCAUGGAUUAUGUCGCAGGGCAGUACCGCCUCUGCACCGUAUACCAUAAAAAAUGGUGUGUAUCCGGUAGUGCGAUUUGGCGUGGUCCGCAGCCCCCAUAGUACGGAGUCGAGCUCCUCUACCCAGUGCGUGUUUGAUUCCUUUAAGGACUGCACUAAUCUGGGUUUAAUGCCGCUCAUGAUAAGACCAUUUGCUCGCUCGACUUGACCGUUAGUUUGCGGGUGAUAGACAGAAGCAUAAUCGAGCUUGAUGCCCAUGUUGCUGCACCAAAGUUUUACCUCGUCGGCUGUAAAGUUCGAGCCGUUAUCAGUGAUGAUGCUGUGGGGGAUGCAUAACGGUGUAUAACCCCAGAUAUGAAGUCUAUCACAGGUCUGAAUUCGGCCGUUUUAACUGGUUUGGCUUCUAUCCAUUUGGUGAAUUUAUCCACCAUGACCAAUAAGUAUUUUUUCUUAUGGCUUCCCCCUUUGAGGGGUCCUACCAUAUCAAGCCCCCAGACCGCAAAGGGCCAAGUAAUAGGGAUUGUUUGGAGGGUGGUAGGCGGCAUAUGGCUUUGGUUUGCAAAAAGCUGGCAACCGACGCAACGUUGGACAAGCUCGUGUGCGUCUGCUCGGGCCGUCGGCCAGUAGAAACCUAUACGGAAGGCCUUGCUUACAAGGGCCCGAGCUGCGGCGUGGUGGCCGCCAAGUCCAGCAUGAAUUUCUGCCAAAAGUUUCCACCCUUCCUCUUCGGAGAUGCACCUUUGAAGGACUCCGGUGGCGCUUUUCUUAUAAAGCUCUCCCUCGUGGACCUUGUAGGCUUUAGACCGCCGCACAAUGCAACGUGCCUUGUUUGGGUCCUCCGGUAGUUCCUUCCUAGUUAGGUAGGCCAGGAAGGGUUCUAUCCACGGGGCGAUGACAGCCAUAAUCAUGUGGGCGGAAGGUGUUAUUUCGGUGGCGGUGCCUCCGAUUACGUCAGAGUGUUCGGUAUCUGGUGUUGUGGCCAAGUCCGGACUGUUGUUGCCGGUCUCUCCUUCCCAUACCACGGAUGGCUUAAACAGCCUUUCCAAGAAGAUAUUGGGUGGGACAGGGUCGCGCCUAGCGCCGAUGCGGGCGAGGAUGUCCGUCGCUUGAUUGUUUUCUCGGACCACAUGGUGGAAUUCGAGCCCCUCGAACCGAGCUGACAUCUUGAGGACAGCGUUGCGAUAAGCCACCAUUUUUGGAUCCUUGGCGUCAAAGUCUCCGUUUAUCUGAGAUAUUGCGAGGUUCGAGUCCCCCCGCACCUCCAGGCGUUGAAUUCCCAUGGAGACUGCCAUCCGGAGACCGUGUAACAGGGCCUCAUAUUCUGCCGCAUUGUUGGAGUCUGUGUAUAGUAUUUGGAGUACGUACUGGACUGUAUCUCCGGUGGGGGAUGUCAGGACCACACCAGCCCCCAGACCCGCCAGCAUUUUGGAGCCCUCGAAGUGCAUGAUCCAAUUGGAGUACGCGCCGUAUUCUUUAGGGAGUUCGACUUCUGUCCACUCGGCGACAAAAUCGGCCAGUACUUGCGACUUGAUGGCUCGCCGUGGUUUAUAUGUUAUGUCGAAUGGGAGGAGCUCGAUAGCCCAUUUAGCAAUCCGGCCCGUGGCAUCGCGGUUGUUUAUUAUGUCGUUGAGUGGUACUUCCGUGGCCACCGUAAUUGAACACUCUUGAAAGUAGUGUCGUAGUUUCCGGGAUGCCAUGAAUACCACGUAUGCUAUCUUUUGAUAAUGUGGGUACCAUGAUUUGCAUGGAGUGAGGACCGUGGAUACAUAGUAUACCGGAUUUUGAAGUGGGAAUUUAUGUCCGUCCAUCUCUCGUUCGACGACGAGCACUGCGCUUACAACUUGGUGAGUUGCCGCUAUAUAUAACAGCAUUGGUUCGCCGACAUUUGGCGCGGCCAAGAUUGGGUUGGUGGCGAAGAUGGCUUUUAUUUCUUCCAAUCCGGCCGUGGCCGCAUCCGUCCACGCAAAGUGUUUGGUGCGCCGAAGAAGGCGAUAAAGGGGCAGUGCCUUUUCUCCUAAUCGGGAGAUAAACUGGCUUAAGGCCGCCACACAUCCAGUUAGUUUCUGAAUUUGCUUGAGGUCUGUUGGGAUAGCCAACUGUGAUAGAGCUCGGAUUUUAGCCGGACUUGCUUCGAUUCCUCUACUGGAGACGAUGAAGCCCAGGAGCUUUCCGGCGGGCACGCCGAAAACGCAUUUUUCCGGAUUGAGCUUGAUGUCGUACGUACGCAGAUUGUCGAACGUGAGCCUCAAGUCAUCUAUUAAGGAUUCGACGUGUCCGGCCUUAACGACCACAUCGUCUACGUAUGCCUCCACUGUUUUGCCGAUCUGUUUUUCCAGGCAUGUCUGAAUCAUGCGUUGAUACGUUGCACCGGCGUUCUUAAGCCCGAAAGGCAUGGUGUUAAAACAGAAGGGGCCGUAUGGGGUGAUAAAUGCCGUUGCGGCUUGGUUGGACUCCGCAAUCUUGAUUUGAUGGUAUCCGAAGUAUGCGUCGAGGAAACACAAUGAGUCGUGUCCUGCAGUAGCGUCGAUAAUUUGAUCAAUGCGGGGGAGGGGGAAGGGAUCCUUGGGGCAAGCCUUGUUAAGGUCCUUGAAAUCGACACAUAGGCGUCAGGAUUUAUCCUUCUUUGGUACCAUCACCAGGUUUGCUAGCCAGUCUGGAUGUUUUAUUUCUCUAAUGAAUCCGGCCUCCAGUAACUUGGGUAGCUCCUCUCCCAUGGCUUGUCGCUUAGGUUCAGAGAAACGCCGAAGAGUCUACUUGACCGGCUUGAAUCCCUUUAGAAUGUUAAGGCUAUGCUCGGCCAGCCUGCGUGGGAUUCCUGGCAUGUCUGAAGGAUGCCAGGCGAAUAUGUCCCAAUUCUCGCGCAGGAACUCCCGUAGUGCGGCGUCUACAGCGGGGUUUAACUGUGCCCCGAUGGAUGCUGUUUUUGUAGGGUCCCUUGGGUGGACUUGGAAUUUGACUAUUUCAUCCGCUGGUUUAAAAGAGGUGGACUUGGAUCUUUUGUCGAGUAUCACGUCGUCCUUGUCCACUGUGGAGCGCAGCGCAGUUAAUUCCUCGGCCGCGAGGGCUUCGGAUAAUGCCUCGAGGGCCAGUGCGGCUGUUUUGUUUUCGCCGCGGAGUGCUAUGUCCGGAUCACUAGCUAGAGUGAUGAUUCCAUUGGGCCCGGGCAUUUUGAGCUUCAUGUACCCGUAAUGGGGUAUGGCUUGGAAGAUCGUGAAUGCCUCCCGCCCUAGAAGGGCGUGGUAUCUGCUACUGAACGGGGCCACUUGGAAUGUGAUUUCUUCGGACCUAUAAUUCUCCGCAUGCCGAAUACCACAUCUAGUGUGAUUUUCCCAGCGCAUCGUGCCUCCCGACUAGGGAUGAUUCCUCUGAAAGUCGUGCUGCUUUCCUCAAUGCGGUUUCUGUCUGUUUCCAUUUUUUGAAGAGUCUCCUCAUAGAUGAGGUUUAAUCCACUGCCGCCGUCCAUGAGCACUUUAGUAAGCCGAAAGCCGUCCACAAUUGGACUAAGGACCAAGGCGGCUGGUGCUCGGGCUGUUCGGAAUUUAGGUUCGUCACUGGCAUUGAAGGUGAUAGCCGUGUCGCUCCAUGGAUUUAUUGCUGCCACGUGGCAGACUUCGGCAAGGCUGCGGAGUGCUCUCUUACGCCUAUUAUUUGAGGCGAAGGUCUCGAAGACUGUCAAUACUGUAUUGUUGUUAUCCACGGGAUGGUGCUCUGCGGUAUUUUUAAUGAGGAGAUCCUCACCGCUCUUGGCCACCUGCCGGAGUACCCAACAUGCUCUAAGGCUGUGUGUUGGUAUGGUAUCCGCUGUACUGUGAAUUUUGCAUGGCCCAUUAAGCCAUCCCUCCAAUACGGCUCCACACCCUAUAGUGGGCUUUUGCUUCUUUGUAAUUGAGUCGGGCGACUUAUGAGAGUGCACCCUUUUAGUUCGGACUGGGGGUUUUCUCAGAGCCGGAUUAUCCCAAAAUUUUGUUUGGGUUUUCCAGGCGCUUUCCAUCGCACAGUACUUCCAUACUAUGGCCGCCAAGUCAGCGAAGUGUGCUAUGUCACGGCGACUUAUGGCGUUCAGGAUUCCGUUGUCUGUGCAAUUAUUGCAAAAGAAUGAAAUUGCGUCUUCCUCGCGACAGUCCUUGACCUUGUUCAUUACAAGGAGGAAUCUGGCCCAAUAGUGAUGUCUCCUGGGGCUCUUGCCUAAUGUGGGAAAGAUCGUUUAUAUCUGGGUGGGUGGGUGGAUUUAAGUCCGGACCUUGACCCAAUCUGAGACCCAGGGGCGGAGGAGUUUCCGAUCUUGGAAGUUCGGGCUCCGGGAUGUUGCCUAGUAGGUCUGGCCCGCUGCCUGAUUCUAGGUUCAGGGUUUGGGUGAUGUCCUCCCGUAGACGGGUAUCCGUCUCAGAGAGCUUGGGAAUCCAGACAUAGUUUGUCCUCAAGAUAGAGGAAGAAUCACCGCAUUGCUCCUCCACCACCGCUAUCUGAUGGGUGACCGGCGGGGAGUUAAUGUCCCUUUGGUCGGGUUUAAGCCCGAUCUGAUCAUAGUCUGUAGCGACUCCCAAAGAGGCGAUGCGAUCCAAGAGCUCGUUCAAAGAAGAGAUCUCUAUUGGAUCCAACUGCUCGGCGAGUCCCGAGCUGACGGGAGGCUGUUUUUGAUGACCCGGGAAGUCAUCGUCGGCGCAGCGGCCGAACAGGCGGUCAUGACGAAACCGCCUAGUCGGAGAGUUUGCCCUACAGCCAGGGCUCCCCCAGAGGUGAUGUUGUCCUUGACAACAAGGCGAGCCAUCCAGCCUUAUGAUGACGGCACAGUGGAACUCUCAAUGAAAGCACCAAUGUCGGUGUCAAUACCGGCGGAUCUCGGGUAGGGGGUCCUGAACUGUGCGUCUAAGGCGGAUGGUAACAGGAGGCGGGGGACACGAUGUUUACCCAGGUUCGGGCCCUCUCGACGGAGGUAAUACCCUACUUCCUGCUUGAUUGAUCUUGAUGAUAUGAGUAUUACAAGAUUUGAUCUACCACGAGAUCAUAGAGGCUAGAACCCUAGAAGCUAGCCUAUGGUAUGAUUGUUGUUGUCCUACGGACUAAACCCUCCGGUUUAUAUAGACACCGGAGGGGGCUAGGGUUACACAGAGUCGGUUACAAGGGAGGAGAUCUACAUAUCUGUAUUGCCAAGCUUGCCUUCCACGCCCAGGAGAGUCCUAUUCGGACACGGGUCGAAGUCUUCAAUAGUCCAACAGUCCAGCCAAAGGAUAUAAUCCGGCUGUCCGAGGACCCCCUAAUCCAGGACUCCCUCAACUGGGCAUCCCGGUGACCAGCCAUUUUCUCGUGAGUGAGGAGUGGAGUCCACUCCUCUUGAGAAUAACCCGCCUAACAUGGAAGAUACGGACAACCCUAGUUGAUACAUGAGUUAUUCGAGCAUACAAAACAGAAUUUCAUUUGAAGGUUUAGAGUUUGGCACAUACAAAUUUACUUGGAACGACAGGUAGAUACCGCAUAUAGGAAGGUAUAGUGGACUCAUAUGGAAUAACUUUGGGGUUUAAGGGAUCGGAUGCACAAGCAGUAUUCCCGCUUAGUACAAGUGAAGGCUAGAAAAAGACUAGGAAGCGAUCAACUAGAGAGCGGCAACAGUCAUGAACAUGCAUUAAAAUUAAUAAACAUUGAGUGCAAGCAUGAGUAGGAUAUAAUCCACCAUGAACAUAAAUAUCAUGAAGGCUAUGUUGAUUUUGUUUCAACUACAUGUGUGAACAUGUGCCAAGUCAAGUCACUCGAAUCAUUCAAAGGAGGAUACCACCCUAUCAUACCACAUCACAACCAUUUUAAUAGCAUGUUGGCACGCAAGGUAAACCAUUAUAAACUCCUAGCUAAUUAAGCAUGGCAUAAGUAACUAUAAUCUCUAAUUGUUGUUGCAAACAUGUUUAUUCAUAAUAGGCUGAAUAAGGAAUGAUGAACUAAUCAUAUUUACUAAAACAAAAGAGGUCGAGUUCAUACCAGCUUCUCUCAUCUCAAUCAGUCCAUCAUAUAUCGUCAUAAUUGCCUUUCACUUGCACGACCGAACGAUGUGAAUAAUAAUAAUAAUAGUGCACGUGCAUUGGACUAAGCUGGAAUCUGCAAGCAUUCAAUAAACAAGAGAAGACAAGUUAAUAUGGGCUCUUGGUUAAAUCAACAAUCAUGCAUGUAAGAGCCACUUCAACAAUUUAAUCAUGGUCUUCUCCUAUCGACCCCCAAAGAAAAGAAAAGAAAUAAAACUAUUUACACGGGAAAGCUCCCAACAAGCAAAAGAAGAAUAGGAAAUAUUUUUGGGUUUUCUUUUUAAUUACUACUACUACAAUCAAGAAAGUAAACUAGCUAAAUGCUACAACUAAUUUUUUCUGGUUUUCUUAAGAUUUUUCAAACACACAAGAAGAAAACAGGAAAAAGAAAAUAAACUAGCAUGGAUAUUACAGUGAAAGAGUAUGAGCACCGACAUCUAGCAAUGAGUGUGUAAACAUAAACAUAAUGUCGGUGAGAGAUACGUACUCCCCCAGGCUUUGGCUUUUGGCCUAAGUUGGUCUAUUGCCACGGCUGGCCUGGCGGAUAUCCAAAGCUGUAGCUGGGGUCGUACUGAGAUGCAGCAGUCAUUGCAUUGUGGGCUGCAGCUUGGAGGCGAGCUAUCUCAGCCCUCCUCUUGUACUCGUUCGCCUCCUCCCUGUUUAUGAAAUAUCUCCCCUUUGCCUGAAGGUCAAAGAAAGUAGAAGCAGGGAGAGCGACGUGAUAGGUACAUCGUCUGUCAAAGAUUAGUCGGUACUGGAGGAACUGAUCGUUCCUCUCAACAAAACGAUGACGAACCAUAGCCUCAUAAUCUAAAUAAGUAGGAGGCAACUCGAUAUCAUCCUCACGUAUGGUUACACCAAGAAAAUUACCUAAACGGGUUGCAUAAAUCCCACCAAAGAAAUCUCCAUUAAAUAUAUUAUUAUGCAACCUACGUGCAACAAUGGCUCCCAAAUUAUAAUGUUUAUCUCCUAACACAGCACUCCUGAGAACACUGAGGUCAGGGACACACAUGUGACAUGCUUCAUCCUUACCAUUUAUGCACCUACCUAUGAAGAGAGCAAAAUAAUGUAUAGCAGGAAAAUGAAUGCUCCCUAUGGUAGCUUGUGCUAUGUCUCUAGAUUCCCCCACAGUUAUGCUAGCAAGAAAAUCUCUAAACUCAGAUUUGCGAGGCUCACUAGUACUACCCCAUUGUGGAAGUUUGCAAGUAGUGGUAAAAUCCUCUAAGUCCAUAGUAUAAGAAUUUUCAUAAAGAUCAAACAGGACAGUUUGAGAAUUACGUGAAGAUGAAAAUUCAAACCUCCUCACAAAGGAACUAGUGAGAUAGUGGUACUGACGACACUUAUCUGCCUCGAAGCUCACAAGAUCAGCGUUACGCACAUAUGCGUUAAAUUCUUCCUUGAUUCCUGCUUGAUCCAUGAAGUCCUCUGAAGGCCAUUCACAAGCCCGCACUGGAGCGUCCCUUGGUGGUUCAUCAUCAGCAUCGUGCAUUGCAAGCCUGGGUCCUUGCUUCCUUGAAGGGCCACCUUGGUACAUUUUCCUAAACAUAUUUCUUCCUCUGAAAAAUUUCUGAAAAUUUUAGUAACUUCAAAAUAAAAGUGAACCAAGCUCAACAAAUUUGGUAGCAACUACUCCCACAAGUGCCUAGAGACUAUAUCAUGCAUUAGAACUAGUUGGAACCAUAUAAAUUUGACAUGCAAGCUCAAGAACAUGGUCACCUAGGCAGCACAAAUUUGCAAUGAAUAAAGCACUAGAACAAAAACUAAUUGGACCAUUGGAGGAGUCACAUACCAAGGAACAAUCCACCAAAGCAGUUUUGUGAGAGGUGCUUUGAGCAAGGAGAUCGAAAAUCACAGCAAAAUGAGCUAGAACUCGUGCUUGAGCUGGUUGGUGAUUUUUUUGGGAGGAAGAAGGAGUGUGUGAGUGCAGGAAUAAGUGGAGGGGAGCCAUCAUGGGCCCAUGAGGCAGGGGGGCACGCCCUGGACCCUCGUGCCCAGGUGAUUGCUCCCCCUGCUGUGUUCUCAGUGCCAAAUAUUCUCAAAUAUUUCAGAAAAAAUCAUAUUAAAUUGGCAGGGCAUUUGGAGAACUUUUAUUUUCGGGGUAUUUUUAUAUUGCACGGAUAAUUCAGAAAACUGACAGAAAAUACCAUUUUUGCUUUAUUUCAACUAAAUAACAGAAAGUAAAAGAAGGGUACAGAAGGUUAUGCUUUCUAACUUCAUCCAUCUCAUGCUCAUCAAAAGGAAUCCACUAACAAGGUUGAUCAAGUCUUGUUAACAAACUCAUUUCGAGUAACAUGAAACCGGAGAAAUUUCGAAUAACACUAUGUUACCUCAACGGGGAUAUGCACGUCCCCAAUAAUAAGAAUAUCAUAUUUCUUCUUGACAGUAGGAAGAGGAAAUUCAAAACCUCCAAUAAUAAUUGAUGGAAUUUUUCCAAUAGAAUUGAUACUGUGAACUUGAGGUUGUUUCCUCGGAAAGUGUACCGUAUGCUCAUUACCAUUAACAUGAAAAGUGACAUUGCCUUUGUUGCAAUCAAUAACAGCCCCUGCAGUAUUCAGAAAGGGUCUUCCAAGAAUAAUAGACAUACUAUUGUCCUCGGGAAUAUCAAGAAUAACAAAGUCCGUUAAAAUAGUAAUAUUUGCAACCACAAUAGGCACAUCCUCACAAAUGCCGAUAGGUAUAGCAGUUGAUUUAUCAGCCAUUUGCAGAGAUAUUUCAGUAGGUGUCAACUUAUUCAUAUCAAGUCUACGAUAUAAAGAGAGAGAGACAUAACACUAACACCGGCUCCAAGAUCACAUAAAGCAGUUUUAGCUUAGUUUCUUUUAAUGGAGCAUGGUAUAGUUGGUACUCCUGGAUCUCCUAGUUUCUUAGGUAUUCCACCCUUGAAAGUGUAAUUAGCAAGCAUGGUGGAAAUUUCAGCUUCCGGUAUCUUUCUUUUAUUUGUAACAAUUUCUUUCAUAUACUUAGGAUAAGGAUUCAUUUUGAGCAUAUCAGUUAAUCGCAUACGCAAAAAGAUAGGUCUAAUCAUUUCAGCAAAGCGCUCAAAAUCCUCGUCAUCCUUUUUCUUGGAUGGUUUGGGAGGAAAAGGCAUGGGUUUCUGAACCCAUGGUUCCCUUUCUUUACCGUGUUUCCUAGCAACAAAGUCUCUCUUAUCAUAACGUUGAUUCGUUGAUUGUGGGUUAUCAAGAUCAACCACAGGUUCAAUUUCCACAUCAUUAUCAUUGCUAGGUUGAGCAUCAACAUGAACAUCAUCAUUAACAUUAUCACUAGGUUCAUGUUCAUCACCAGAUUGUGUUUCAGCAUCAGAAAUAGAAAUAUCAUUUGGAUUCUUGGGUGGUUCAGCAAUAGGUUCACUAGAAGCAUGCAAAGUCCUAUCAUUUUUCUUUUUCUUCUUUUUAGAAGGACUAGGUGCAUCUACAUCAUUUCUCCGAGAAUCUUGCUCAAUUCUCUUAGGAUGGCCUUCAGGAUACAAAGGUUCCUGAGUCAUUUUACCAGUUCUAGUAGCCACUCUAACAGCAUAGUCAUUAAUUUUACUAUUCAAUUCAUUGAGCAAAUCAUUUUGAGCUUUAAGUACUUGUUCUACUUGAGUGGUAACCAUAGAAGCAUGUUUACUAAUGAGUUUAAGUUCACCUUUAACUCUAGACAUAUAAUCACUCAAGUCUUCAAUCAUAUAAGCAUUGUGUUUUAAUUGUCUACCAAAAUAAGCAUUAAAAUCUUCUUGCUUAACCAUAAAGUUAUCAAACUCAUCUAAGCAUUGGCUAGCAGACUUAUAACGAGGAAUAUCACCUUCAUCAAAUCUAUAGAGAGAAUUUACCUUUACUACCUGUGUCGGGUUAUCAAGACCAUGUGUUUCUUCAAUAGGUAAUGAAUUAAGACCAUGUAUUUCUUCAACAUGCGGUAAAUUAAGACCAUGUAUUUCUUCAACAGGAGGUAAAUUCUUAACAUCUUUAGCUUUUAUACCUUUUUCUUUCAUAGAUUUCCUUGCCUCUUGCAUAUCUUCAGGACUGAGAAAUAGUACACCCCUUUUCUUCGGAGUUGGCUUAGGAGUUGGUUCAGGAAGUGUCCAAUUAUUUUCAUUUGUCAACAUAUUAUUCAAUAGAAUUUUAGCUUCAUCUGGUGUUCUUUCCCUGAAAACAGAACCAGCACAACUAUCCAGGUGGUCUCUGGAAGCAUCGGUUAGUCCAUUAUAAAAGAUAUCAAGUAUUUCAUUUUUCUUGAGAGGAUGAUCAGGAAAAGCAUUAAGUAAUUGGAGAAGCCUCCCCCAAGCUUGUGGGAGACUCUCUUCUUCAAUUUGCACAAAAUUAUAUAUUUCCCUUAAAGCAGCUUGUUUCUUAUGAGCAGGUAAAUGUUUAGCAGAGAAAUAAUAAAUCAUAUCCUGGGGACUACGCACACAACCAGGAUCAAGAGAAUUAAACCAUAUCUUAGCAUCACCCUUUAAUGAGAAUGGAAAUAUCUUAAGGAUAUAAUAGUAGCGAGUUUUCUCAUCAUUAGUGAACAGGGUGGCUAUAUCAUUUAAUUUAGUAAGAUGUGACAUAACAGUUUCGGAUUCAUAGCCAUAGAAAGGAUCAGAUUCAACCAAAGUAAUUAUAUCAGAAUCAAUAGAGAAAUCAUAAUCCUUAUCAGUAACAAAGAUAGGUGAAGUAGCAUAAGCAGGAUCAUAUUUCAUUCUAGCAUUCAGAGUUUUUUGUUUAAGCUUAGCUAAUAAUUUCUUAAGAUCACUUCUAUCAUUGCAAGCAAGAAAGUCUCUAGCAGUUUCUUCAUCCAUAACAUAGCCCUCAGGCACAACAGGCAAUUCAUACUUAGGGGGAGAGUCUUCAUCAUCACUUUCAUCAAUAUUAUCAGUUUCAAUAAUUUCAUUCUCUCUAGCCCUAGCAAGUUGUUCAUCAAGAAAUUCACCAAGUGGCACAGUAGUAUCAAGCAUAGAAGUAGUUUCAUCAUAAGUAUCAUGCAUAGCAGAAGUGGCAUCAUCAAUAACAUGCGACAUAUCAGAAUUAAUAGCAGAAGCAGGUUUAGGUGUCGCAAGCUUACUCAAAACAGAAGGCGAAUCAAGUGCAGAGCUAGAUGGCAGUUCCUUACCUCCCCUCGUAGUUGAGGGAUAAAUUUUUGUUUUCGCGUCUUUCAAGUUCUUCAUAGUGACUAGCAGAUAUAAAUCCCAACUGAAUCAAAGAAUAGAGCUUUAUGCUCCCCGGCAACGGCACCAUAAAAUAGUCUUGAUAACCCACAAGUAUAGGGGAUCACAACAGUUUUCGAGGGUAGAGUAUUCAACCCAAAUUUAUUGAUUCGACACAAGGGGAGCCAAAGAAUAUCCUUAAGUAUUAGCAGUUGAGUUGUCAAUUCAACCACACCUGGAUAACUUAUUAUCUGCAGCAAAGUAUUUAGUAGCAAAGUAAUAUGGAAGUAACGGUAACGAUAGCAAAAGUAAUAUUUUUGGGUUUUAUAGUGAUUGUAACAGUAGCAACGGUAAAGUAAAUAAGUGAAGAACAAUAUGUGAAAAGCUCGUAGGCAUUGGAUCGGUGAUGGAGAAUUAUGCCGGAUGCGGUUCAUCAUGUAACAGUCAUAACAUUGGGUGACACAGAACUAGCUCCAAUUCAUCAAUGUAAUGUAGGCAUGUAUUCCGAAUAUAGUCAUACGUGCUUAUGGAAAAGAACUUGCAUGACAUCUUUUGUCCUACCAUCCCGUGGCAGCGGGGUCCUAACGGAAACUAAGGGAUAUUAAGGCCUCCUUUUAAUAGAGUACCGGACCAAAGCAUUAACACGUAGUGAAUAUGAACUCCUCAAACUAUGGUCAUCACCGGGAGUGGUCCCGAUUAUUGUCACUUCGGGGUUGCCGGAUCAUAACACAUAGUAGGUGACUAUAGACUUGCAAGAUAGGAUCAAGAACUCACAUAUAUUCAUGAAAACAUAAUAGGUUCAGAUCUGAAAUCAUGGCACUCGGGCCCUAGUGACAAGCAUUAACCAUAGCAAAGUCAUAGCAACAUCAAUCUCAGAACAUAGUGGAUACUAGGGAUCAAACCCUAACAAAACUAACUCGAUUACAUGAUAAAUAUCAUCCAACCUAUCACCGUCCAGCAAGCCUACGAUGGAAUUACUCACGCACAGCGGUGAGCAUCAUGAAAUUGGUGAUGGAGGAUGGUUGAUGAUGACGAUGACGACGGAUUCCCCUCUCCGGAGCCCCGAACGGACUCCAGAUCAGCCCUCCCGAGAGAGUUUAGGGCUUGGCGGCGGCUCCGUAUCGUAAAACUCGAUGAAUCUUUCUCUGAUUCUUUUCUCCCCGAACACGAAUAUAUGGAGUUGGAGUUGAGGUCGGUGGAGCUUCAGGGGGGCCACGAGGCAGGGGGGCGCGCCCAGGGGGGGCAGGCGCGCCCCCACCCUCAUGGCAAGGGUGUGGGCCCCCUGGCCUUGAUUCUUUUGCCAGUAUUUUUUAUUAUUUCCAAAAAUAAUCUCCGUGGAGUUUUAGGUCAUUCCGAGAACUUUUGUUUCUGCACAUAAAUAACACCAUGGCAAUUCUUUUGAAAACAGCGUCAGUCCGGGUUGGUUCCAUUCAAAUCAUGCAAGUUAGAGUCCAAAACAAGGGCAAAAGUGUUUGGAAAAGUAGAUACGACGGAGAUGUAUCAUGGUCUCGGAGGCGACGGCGCCAGUGGACGUGUCUUCUGGCGACUCCCGCAAGGGGGAGGAAGAGGAGGAGAGCGAGGAGCGCGACUCGGAGGCGACCACCGAAGGGAUGGGGGAGACCUCCCCCAUGCACAAGGCCGACAUCCUCUACACCUUGCCUCAUGACGACGACGAGGUCGAUGCCCUCCCGGAGAGAGGGGAGCCGCCCGCGGUUCCAACGAGGGCAGGUCGGCGCUGAUCUCCCGGGAUGACGCUCCUGCCCUGACGCCGCCUGGGGCUGCUUCUGGCCCAUCUGCCUCCCGUUCUUCCACUCUUGGCGCCCAUGUGUCUGCACCUCAGGCUGCGAGGCUCUCCGGCAUCAAGCUUACGAAGCAGAGGGACUACGCCGUGGUUGAGCAGUAAGUGUUCUUGUCCUGUUUUGUUCUUGCUUCUGAUGCUUGCCCUUGAUGCUUCUCCGUUGUGCAAUCAGGCCGACGCCUGCGGCGAAGAGGAGGAAGGAGGACGCGGCGGUGCUGCUCGGGACCAAGUCGCCUACGGUGGCCACACCCCUCCCCACGGACAAGGGCAACAAUGACGUUCGCGCUUCUUCGGCCCGAUCGUCCUCGCGAGGCCUGGCGGAGCAUCCCCGGGAGGAGUCAGCCCCCGUGGCCCCGUUGGCUCCGGAUGUGCCAAUGCCUGGCUCGGUCGCCGAGGUCGCGAAAGCUCAGGAGCCUCCGUCCUCCCAGGCCAUGGUGACGACUUUGCCUCCUCCCCCUUCUGCCGCACUGCUUCCUCCGGGCCCUUCGGCCUCCCUUGACAUUCUGGAGCGUGCUCUUUUUGCGAUGACCCUGCUGCGAGAAUAUCUGCAAGGCACCGACCGUCACUUGGCGGCCGGGCGCCUGGAGCUGGUCUCUGGCUGGCUUCAUUCCGAUAUGUCCGUCCGGGCGACGCUGAGCCAGGUUGCUGCGGACUCCGAGAAGGAUAGGGAGGCCGUCGCCCAAGCCACGGCCGCCCGCGAGGCGGCACUAAAGGAUGCCGAGGCCGCCAAGGACCGCUGCCAGUCACUGGAGGCCGAGCUAGAGACCGCGCGGAGGGAGCGCGCGAAGGAAGCCCGAGGCCGCAAGGCGGAGGAGGAGAAGAUGAAGGCCCGAGAGGACGCCGUCAGGGAUCGCGACGCCGACCUGGAUUAGUUGGCGAAGGCGCAGGCGAUGGAGCGCGGCCGGUUGGAGGAGCUGGAGCAGAAGCUGAAGGCGGAGAAGGCCGAGCUUGAAGCCAAGGCAAAGAUCCUGGCUGAGGACCGUGAGGCCUUCAAGCUCGUCGAGGUGAGGUCUCGGAUGACGCUGCAGUCACUCUACGAGAAGGGCUUGGAGGAGCCGUUGGCUGCCAGCAACGAGGGCCCCGCUGAGCUGCUUCCUUAUCUGGUUGAUGCGCUUGAGGACGUCGUGAGCGGUAUCGGCCCCAUGGCAGAGGAAGAGGCUCGCGUCCUUUCCUCAGCCGCGCUGACGCGCGUCUUCAGCCACCUCCAUCUUCGCGACCCUGCCACCCACCUUGACGAGCUGCUGGAGCUUGUGGAUGACGAACAUUGCACGACCGUUGCCGCAGCUGUGAAGGGUCAGGUGGAGGCCCUGCUGAAGAAGUUCCGCGCCUUCGCUCCCGCGCCCACGAUCGGCGGCGCUACUGAUCCUGCAACUCCGGCUAGUGGUACAGGUGGAGGCGAUACCGUUGAAGAAGAAGCAUCCCUCGCAGGCAACGGCGGUGUCCAGGGGUGAAGGGGUGUCUUGCUGGCGGCUCCUUUCCUGCUUAACUCCUACAACAUGUAUCGUGCCUCGUGGAGGCAUUUAAACUUGUGUUUGAUAUUGGAGAACAAUAUGUCUUGUAAUAUUUGCUUGAGAUUUUGUGAUUUCCUUCCCAUUUGCUUUACGUUCUACGUCGGCAGGGCCCGACCCCGCGCAUACCUCAGCCGCCGUUGGGUCGUCCGGAUCACUAGGACAGACCAAGGAGUGAGGGGCUACGUGGCCAGUUAGGCUCCUGAGUCGCGAUGCUCAGGAGCCCCCCUUGACGCGCAAACAACUUAUGGGAAGGAAAUGCGGGAAUAGGCCUAGUUUUAUACGUCGGCAGGGCCUGGGCCCGCGCAUACCUCAGCCGCCGUUGGGUCAUCUAGAUCACCAGGACGAGACCAAGGAGUGAGGUGCUACGUGACCAGUUAGGCUCCUGAGUCGCGAUGCUCAGGAGCCCCCUUGACGCUCAAACGACCUUCAUACCUUUGCCCUCGCCAAGGCUCGGCUCGGGAGGGGCGCAAGACGACCAGGUCCGGGGCACCUGGCAGGGUGGCGUACGCUUGGGCGUGACCCGAGCGCAGCCCCCGUGCCCAGCCCCCUCGCGCGACUCUCCCGAGGGGAGGUGUUGCAAUGAGGCCAUACACAGAGCUCAAGGGCUCCCUGAGGUUGAUACGAUCGUGAGGCUGCCCUCAGUUGUUUAUCACCAGCGCGGAGAAUAGCGCUUCCGCACUUGCACGGGCAUAGCCCCUCCUCGGCAGUGUCGACGGCCAGCGCGGAGCAUGGUGCUUCCAGUGGUACGUGGGAGGGGGUUCCCUACUGCGGAGAGCCCCCGGUGCGUGUACAGCCCCGCCCUGACACGUGGCUUGCACGAUAGGGCUAGACGAGGUGUGUCUGGGCACUCGUGAGCCAGCGCGGGACUCACGAGGCCCUACCUCAAGGCGGGUUGCGCCUGGUCUUGGUUCUUGAUGGCUGUAGUGGUCCUGCGAGAUGGUUAGACAACCUGCGCCGAACGAAUCUCCUGAGGUUAUCACGUGAGAAGGCCAAGCACCAACGACCCCAGGAGGUGACGUGAACGGGGCCAGCCCGCCAGACAGAGCUUAGUCGUUGGAUUUAUCGACGCUGCAGGGACGGGCCCGAGCGGCGAAGGGCCCUGAAGAAAGACGAUCCGCGCGCGACUCCCGUGGUGGGUGACAAUCAAGCAGGUGAUAACCAUAGAUAGAUUACGCAUGAAAAGCAGACUAGCUCAUGUAAAUGCAAGAAUGAUACACACCACUGGGUCGGACCCGAGCGGCUUGGGGAUGAUGCAGCCCGAGGGGCUCCCCCAAUAAGGUAAGCUAAAGACGUAAAAGGAUACAUGCCGCAGGACAGACCCACACGACCUGGGAAUGAUGCAGCUCGGGGGGGGGGCGCUCCUAGCUAAAUACACUUGGAAAAUGUCACCUGAUUCGGCCGACGAAGGGGUGUUGGGGCAGCUGAAGAUGCGUGGCGAAGGGGUUGCUCCUCACGAGCCACCGGGGCCCUAAGCCUCGGGAGGCUCUGGGGGUCCGGGCGGUUCCUUGAGGACCGUCUCCAUCUCCGUCAGGACUGCGUAAUGCCUGGCCUCCUGAGCCGCCAGGACGCUCCGCAGGUUGCGCUGGAAGGCGGCUGCCACGCUCGGCAUGCCAAAUGGCAUGCGAACAUAGCUGUGAGGUGGGCCCUCGCAGUGUCCCACGUGCGAAGGCCAGAAAAGCUCCUGAGAAGCGGCCCUGUUGAGCCCUGGGAUGUCAAUGCAGACGCGCAGCCCGCCAUCCUCGCCUGGAUGGGGAGCUGCGCCAGGUGAGCGGCGGUCGCCGCGCAUGGCUCUUCCAUCCUGCAGCUCCUGAGUGACCUUGGUGAUGAACUCCUGAGCGCCAGGCGCUCCUCGCCCGGUGUCCUCCUGAGGGAAACGUGCCGUGAAGCACGCCUCCACGUGGUGCCCGAGCGCCUCCCUCGUGAUGUGGGCUAGGUUUGAGGCCGUCCAGAAGAGAGCCCCCAAACCCUGCCUGAGGAGGGCGCCGGACGCGCCUUCCUAUGCGAGGGAGGGAGGUGCCCCAGGCGCGGGCGCCGAUUCUGAUGUUGUUCCGUCAGAGGCACCGCUCCCCCUAGGCCCAGUGUGGAGUAGCUUAUUCUUCUUCUUGGGGACGACCUCAGGAGGGUAUAGGGUGCCUUGGUCAUCGGGGUCUUCGAUCGACGCAGCUUGGAAGGCGCGCUCGAGGGAGCACGCCACAUCUAUUUCUUCACAGGGGACGGUGAUGAUCCCGCCGCCUCCUGGCAUAUUGAGGACAUUGUAGCCGUGAUGUGUCACCGCCAUGAACUUGGCUAGGGCCGGAUACCCGAGGAUGGCAUUGUACAGCAGACGGAUGUGAGCAACGUCGAAGUCGAUGAGCUCGGUGCGGUAGUUGUUGUGCUGUCCGAAGGUGACAGGGAGGCGGACCUGCCCUAUCAGGGUGGUAGAGUCGUCGGUCACUCCUGAGAAAGGCUUGGUAGGCUGAAGCUGAUCGUAUGGCACUUGGAGGCUGUCGAACGUCUCGACGGGCAGGAUGUUAAGCCCCGCGCCGCCGUCGAUGAGGGUCUUGGUGACUUGUACGUUGCUGAUGACGGGUGAGCAGAGCAUCAGGAGGGCGCCAGCGGUGGCCGCGCACUUGAGUUGGUCAGCUGAGCUGAAAGUGAUGGCGCACUUGGACCACCUGAGCGGGCGUGUGGCCUCGAGCCUGGGAAGGGCUGCGUUCACUUCACGAGCAAAGUGCUUGAAGAUGCGUUGAGAGGCUGGGGCUUGAGCUCCGCCCAAGAUGCAGGCGAUGGCGCACGGUUCCUGGAAGCCCCCAGCCCACUCGUCCUGAUGGUGGUCAUCGUUCCUCCUUGGCGGUGGCGGAAGCGGAGGAAGGCCAGCAUUGCCCUAAGGGCGAUCUUCACGAGGCUGGUCCCUCCAUGCGCCCUCGCGAGGUCGGUCGCGCCACUCCUAGCGAGGGCCGCGGUCGUCCCAGCGUCCUCCGCCUCGUCCUCCUCCUCGGCCAUAGCCCUGGUCGUUGUGCUCGGGGCGUCGACCGAGGCGUCCAUCUCGAAUGGCCCUGAGCUCUUGAUAGUCAUUGGUGUUGUGGCUGUGUACAUUGUGGAAGGCACAUAACGGCCGGCUACUAUUGGAUGACUCGGGAAGGUCCCGGCCGCGCUUCGUGUCUGGCUCCGCUGUGAGCACGGCUACUCCCUUGCGCUUCACGUCCUUGGCCUUGGCCUUCUUCUCCUCUGGGUCGGCAGCUGGGAGCUCGAGGAGGGAAAGGCGCCCCUCCUCAGCUCUCGCGCACUUGGUCGCCAGGUUGAACAGCUCCAAGGUCGUGCAUAGCUCCUCGUGGAUGGCGAGCUCCUCCUUCAUCUUGACGUCGCGGACGCCAUCCGAAAACGCAGAGAUGAUGGCCUCAUCCGUCACCUUGGGGAUCUUGAGACGAACGUUGUUGAAGUGCUGGAUGUACUUCUGGAGGGUCUCCCCUGGCUGCUGCUUGAUACAGCGCAGGUCACCCGCGGCCGGCGGGCGGUCGCAAAUGCCCUGGAAGUUGGCGACGAAGCGGUCACGCAUCUCGUUCCAGGAGGAGAUCGAGCCGGGAGGCAGGUUCAGGAGCCACGAGCGAGCGCCAUCCUUGAGAGCCAUGGGGAACCAGUUUGCCAUGACUUUUUCGUCGCCGUUGGCCGCCUUGAUGCUCAGCUCGUAGAGCUGCAGGUGCCGUCGCAGCGAGGAGGCAGGUCCGGCUUGAACUUGCCCGGCUAGGCGACGCUACGUAGCUCGGGAGUGAAGGCGCGGCAGCCAGUGGUGGUCACCGGGGGUCUUUGCCGAUGUGGAGCCUGCCCUUGGUGCCCGCGCACCCCGCCGUAGGUGGCACACGAUCUUGUUGCAGUGGCGCUGGGAGCGCGGGCGCGUUCUCUUGUGGCCGGGGAACUUCUUGACAGCUUCCUUCUUCUCGCGCGGGCGCCCGACGCGGUGGGUCACGCCGGGGGGCCGCGUGCCUUGGUGGCAGGGCGCCGUCUUGGUGCAGGGGUGGUGGAGGCGCUCCGUGAGCCACGUCACCCGCAGCUGCGGAGGGCGAGGGAGCGAGAGGGAUGGCACAGGGGAGCCCCCUGCGGCGUUGACGAGCUCGGCGAUGCGGUCCAGCCAGUCCUCGUAGAGGUCGUCGACUGGGCGGUAGCGCAGGAGCUCGCGUGCCAUGAGCAGCGCGGCCUGCGCGUCCGUGGGAGCGCGACGAGCGUGAGACGACGAGACGGCCGGGGUCAGCAAUGGAGUGGCGGUGCGGCCAUCCCGUCGCACCGAGGGGUGCAGCGAGGACGCUUGCUGCUCGUUCCCCGCUGGGCCGGUGGCGGCGUUGGCGGUGGGUGACGGAGAAUGACGGGGAGGCCCGCCGACGGGAGCUGUCUGAGCGAUGCGGGCGGCGAGGGCGACCCGACGCUCAGUGCAGGCUCGGCGAGCGUCCGCCAUGGAUGCGGCGAAGCGACGGGACGCGGAUCGAUGGAGGAAAGCUUUGGGGCACCCCUACUUGGCGCGCCAAAUGUCAGAUUUCGGGUUCCGGCAAAACCCUUGAGGUUCGAACACUGGGGUGCGCACGGAUAUCUCUCCCUACCUAGAUCGCCCUCACCAGAUCGCAAGGCCUAGCUCGACGAACCCACAGAAAGAGAGACACAAGAGUUUAUACUGGUUCGGGCCACCGAUGUGGUGUAAUACCCUACUCCAAUGUGGUGUGGUGGAUUGCCUCUUGGGCUGAGGAUGAACAGUUACAAGGGAAGAACAACUUCCUGAGGAGAGGUGUUCUUGUGCUUGGUGGUGGCUCUAUUCGGGAUGAGAUCCAGAUUAGGAUGAGCUCGAGUUGCCUCUUACUGUGGUGGCUAGUCCUAUUUAUAGAGGCUCUGGUCCUCUCCCCAAAUAUUGAGCGGGAAGGGAUCCAACAACGGCCAAAUUCGAAGGGAGACAACUAGUACAAGUUAUCCUGACUAAAGGUGGUCUUCUCCUGCCAAAGGCUCUGGUGGUGACGCCGUCUUGGGCUCCACGAUGACCUCCGUCUUGCCGUCCUGCUGGUCUUGGUCUCGUUGCACUGAUAUGGAAACCUUUGCCUGAUGCCUCGGGACUCCUCGCCUGCGCUUGCCCCUUUAACACCAAAGAGGAAACGAGGAUACUGCGCGCGCUAGCGCCUGCCUGGCUUCGGUCGUCAUGGCUUGCGUCACAGGAACCUCGCGAGGUGUCCUUUGCCUUGAUCUCUCCGCCCCUCGCCAGCCAGCCUGGUGAGGCAGCCCCCGAGGAGGUCUUGUGUCGUCUGCCUCGCGAGGCUUGGCCCCUCGCGAGGGUAUUGAGUGUUUGUUGGUGAAGAUGGGCCGUACAGGGCCGCUGGUGGAGCCACGCAGUGGGCCGCAGGCAGGCAAGUCUGGGGACCCCCAUUCCCAGGACGCCGACAACUGUCUAGUUGAACAGUUUGUAUAAAUUAAGAAUGACUGCUUAAUCUAUGAAUGAAAUAUAUGCUUAAUUAGUGAAUUUUAGUUGCAAAAAUUAGAUAGUGCUAGUGAUUUCUAGCUGCGUAUUUUGACAAAUCGAUGUGUUACAAGGAUUGACAAAUGGCAACAUUACUAGAUCAACAAAUGUAAAUCUUUCCAGUUUGACAAAUGGCAACAUACCCAAUAUGACAGAUGCAAAUCUUACCAUUUUUUUUGUACGUGGUUGCACACGGGUCAUACAAAACAACCGUUUGCGUUGAAGGGAUGCACAAAUCCUGCGCUACUGAUUUUCCAUUGACUUAAGGGGAAGACCAUAGCUCUCACUUUGCAUACGGGUGUUCUAUCUAAAACGUUUGCGAUCAAGAGCUGCACAAAUCCCGCUCGGCAUAUUUUCCCUCGGCUUCCUGGGGAAGCUGUCGGUUUGCAUAUGGGUGUUCUAACUAAAACAUUUGCGAUGAGUGUUUUAUAUUUAAAAACCGAAUUAAACUAUGUCUUGGGCGCCAUUAAUGGAGAGGUUGCGAGCAAGGUGGGCGGCCAUGGAAGUCAAAGGGCUCGCUUCCCGAUGAGCCUGCGCGGCGUAUAGCUCGCACGCUUCCCGUUGAGCCUCCGCAUUGGAGUACAGCUCUCACACCUUCCGUUUAGUCAAGCACUCAAGCACCUGUCCGCAUGGCACCUCCUAGCCAUUAAAAGAGUGAGGCGUGGCGUCACGUGAAUGGUUAACAGAACGCACACAAUUUAAAUUAUACAAAAUGUUUGAGAUGUUAUAGUGGCAGCUAUUUGUUUCAAAAUGCCUUUGUUGGCUGUUAUUCGAGUGCGCCUUCUCUCAAAAUGGACACGAAAAAUACCACAGCAUGUCGGGUGCCAUUCCAUUAUAGCAUGCCAAGUUUCAUGAACUUCAGACGAGUUUUGGAUUUACUAGAAUUUAAAAACAAAGUAUCUAAACGUUUUGCCGGCAAUCAAUAGUGCCCUGGUGUUUGAAAUUCAUUCCCAUUUCUUUCAUGGGACCUAAGCAUGCCCCGAAGGACACAGAUUUGAUUUUGCAACCAAUUUAUAUGCACUGGAGCUUGUGCAUGUAGUUCAAAUUUGAAUUAUGCACAUGAAAUGCCUAGAAAACCCAGUUAAUGUAUAAAUGUCCAAAUGAACCCCGGAAAAUUCCAAAAGUAAACACAACACUCAUGUUGUUCUAUGUUGACACUAGAAAUUUUUUGAAAGCAAUAAGAGGCAACGGAUGUCGUUUCGUCCCCAAAGGUGUCACGUUCCCUAUCGAAACCAUCACGCUUGUUGUGAGAAGCUAAGGUUUGUAAGAAGCUUAUACCUAAACCUGCCCCAAAUGGGACAUUUUUUUACCACGGCAUGUUGAUGCUGCUCCAUGAUAGAAUGCCAAGUUUCAUGAAUUUUAGACGAGUUUUGGAUUUACUAGAAUUUAAAAGCCAUGUAUCUCAAUGUUUGCGGCCGAGUGGCGGUGGCAGGGUGUUUGAAAUUCCUUCCCAUUUCUUGCAUGGGACCUAAGCAUGCAAACAAGGACACACAUUUGAUUUUUCAACAAGUUUAUAUGCACUGGAGAAUCUGCAUGUAGUUCAAAUUUGAAUUAUGCGCAUAAAAUGCGUGGGAAACCCAGUUAAUGUAUAAAAAUGUCCAAACGAACCCCGAAAAAUUCCAAAAUUGAACACAACACUCCUAUUGUUCUAUGUUGACAAUCGAAUUUUUUUGAAAGCAAUAAGAGGCAACGGAUAUUGAUACGUCUCCAACGUAUCUACUUUUCCAAACACUUUUGUCCUUGUUUUGGACUCUAACUUGCAUGAUUUGAAUGGAACUAACCCGGACUGACGAUGUUUUCAGCAGAAUUGCCAUGGUGUUAUUUUUGUGCAGAAAUAAAAGUUCUCGGAAUGACCUGAAACUUCACAGAGAAUAUUUUUGGAAUUAAUAAAAAAUAUUGGCGAAAGAAUCAACGCCAGGGGGCCCACACCCUGUCCACGAGGGUGGGGGGCGCGCCCCCUGCCUCGUGGGCCCCCUAAGGUUCCACCGACCUCAACUCCAACUCUAUAUAUUCAUGUUCGGGGAGAAAAAAAAUCAGAGAGAAGGAUUCAUCGCGUUUUAUGAUACGGAGCCGCCGCCAAGCCCUAAUCUCUCUCGGGAGGGCUGAUCUGGAGUCCGUUCGGGGCUCCGGAGAGGGGAAUCCGUCGCCAUCGUCAUCAUCAACCUUCCUCCAUCACCAAUUUCAUGAUGCUCACUGCCGUGCGUGAGUAACUCCAUAGUAGGCUUGCUGGACGGUGAUGGGUUGGAUGAAAUUUACCAUGUAAUCGAGUUAGUUUUGUUAGGGUUUGAUCCCUAGUAUCCAUUAUGUUCUGAGAUUUAUGUUGCUAUGACUUUGCUAUGCUUAAUGCUUGUCACUAGGGCCCGAGUGCCAUGAUUUCAGAUCUGAACCUAUUAUGUUUUCAUGAAUAUAUGUGAGUUCUUGAUCCUAUCUUGCAAGUUAAUAGUCACCUACUAUGUGUUAUGAUCCGGCAACCCCGAAGUGACAAUAAUCGGACCACUCCCGGUGAUGACCGUAGUUUGAGGAGUUCAUGUAUUCACUAAGUGUUAAUGCUUUGGUCCGGUACUCUAUUAAAAGGAGGCCUUAAUAUCCCUUAGUUUCCAAUAGGACCCCGCUGCCACGGGAGGGUGGGACAAAAGAUGUCAUGCAAGUUCUUUUCCAUAAGCACGUAUGACUAUAUUCGGAAUACAUGCCUAUUACAUUGAUGAACUGGAGCUAGUUCUGUGUCACCCUAUGUCACAACUGUUGCAUGAGGAUCACAUCCGACAUAAUUAUCCAUCACUGAUCCAAUGCCUACGAGCUUUUCGCAUAUUGAUCUUUGCUUAGUUACUUUACCGUUGCCACUGUUACAAUUACUACAAAACUGCUAGUGUUACUUUUGCCACCGUUACCGUUACUUCCAUACUACUUUGCUACUAAAUACUUUGCUGUAGAUAUUAAGUCUUACAGGUGUGCUUGAAUUGACAACUCAACUGCUAAUACUUGAAAAUAAUCUCUGGCUCCCCUUGUGUCGAAUCAAUAAAUUUGGGUUGAAUACUCUACCCUCUAAAACUGUUGCGAUCCCCUAUACUUGUGGGUUAUCAAGACUAUUUUCUGGCACCGUUGCCGGGGAGCAUAGCCCUAUUCUUUGAGUCACUUGGGAUUUAUAUCUUUUGAUCACUAUGAGGAACUUGAAAGACGAAAUAACCAAGAUUUAUCCCUCAACUAUGAGGGGAGGUAAGGAACUGCCAUCUAGCUCUGCACUUGAUUCACCUUCUGCUAUGAGUAAAUUUACGACACCUACACCUGCUAUUGAUUCUGAUAUGUUGCAUGUUAUUGAUGAUGCCACUUCUGCUAUGCAUGAUGCUUAUGAUGAAACUACUUCUAUGCUUGAUAAUACUGUGCCACUAGGUGAAUUUCUUGAUGAACAACUUGCUAGGGUUAGAGAGAAUGAAAUUAUUGGAACUGAUAAUAUUGAUGAAAGUGAUGAUGAAGAUUCUCCCCCUAGAUAUGAAUUGCCUGAUGUGCCUGAGGGUUAUGUUAUGGAUGAAGAAACUGCUAGAGACUUUUUUGCUUGCAAAGAUAGAUAUGAUCUUAAGAAACUGUUAGUUAAGCUGAAAGAGAAGUCUUCGAAUGCUAGAAUGAAAUAUGACCCUGCUUUUGCUACUUCACCUAUCUGUAUUUCUGAUAAGGAUUAUGAUUUCUCUGUUGAUCCUGAGUUAAUUACUUUGGUUGAAUCUGAUCUUUUUUUUGGCUAUGAAUCUGAAACUGUUGUGGCACAUCUUACUAAAUUGAAUGAUAUAGCCACCCUAUUCACCACUGAGGAAAAAAUUCGUUACUACUAUAUCCUUAUGUUAUUUCCGUUCUCAUUAAAGGGUGAUGCUAAAAUAUGGUUUAAUUCUCUUACUCCUGGUUGUGUGCGUAGUCCCCAGGAUAUGAUUUAUUACUUCUCUACUAAAUAUUUCCCCGCUCUUAAGAAACAAGCUGCCUUAAGGGAAAUAUAUAAUUUUGUGCAAAUUGAAGAAGAGAGUCUCCCACAAGCUUGGGGGAGGCUUCUUCGGUUAGUUAAUGCUUUGCCUGAUCAUCCUCGCAAGAAAAAUGAAAUACUUGAUAUCUUUUAUAAUGGACUAACCGAUGCUUCCAGAGACCAGCUGGAUAGUUGUGCUGGUUGUGUUUUCAGGGAAAGAACUGUUGAUCAAGCUGAAUUGCUAUUGAACAAUAUGUUGAGUAAUAAUAAUAAUUGGACACUUCCUGAACAAACUCCUAAGCCAACUCCAAAGAAAAGGGGUAUUCUAUUUCUCAGUCUUGAAGAUAUGCAAGAGGCAAAGAAAUCUAUGAAAGAAAAGGGUAUUAAAGCUAAAGAUGUUAAGAAUUUACCACCUAUUGAAGAAAUACAUGGUCUUACUAACCCGACACGGGUAGUAAAGGUAAAUUCUCUCUAUAGAUUUGAUAAAGGUGAUAUUCCUUGUUAUAAGUCUGCUAGUCAAUGCUUAGAUGAGUUUGAUAAUUUUAUUGUUAAACAAGAAAACUUCAAUGCUUAUGUUAGUAGACAUUUGAAACGAAAUGCUUAUAUGAUUGAACACUUGAGUGAUUAUAUGUCUAGCGUUAAAGGUGAACUUAAACUUAUUAGUAAACAUGCUUCUAUGGUUACCACUCAAGUAGAACAAGUGCUUAAAGCUGAGAAUGAUUUGCUCAAUGAAUUAAAUAAUAAGAAAAACGAUAAUGCUGUUAGAGUUAUGAGUAGAGGGGGUAGAAUGACUCAGGAACCUUUGUAUCCUGAGGGCCACCCUAAGAGAAUUGAGCAAGAUUCUCAAAGAACUAAUGUUGAUGAACCUAGUCCUUCUAAAAAGAAGAAAAAGAAAAAUGAUAGGACUUUGCAUACUUCUAGUGAACUUAUUGUUGACACACCUGAGAAUCCCAAUGAUAUUUCUAUUUCUGAUGCUGAAACACAAUCUGGUAAUGAACAUGAACCUAGUGAUAAUAUUAAUGAUGAUGUGCAUGUUGAUGCUCAACCUAGCAAUAACAAUGAUGUAGAGAUUGAACCUGCUGUUGAUCUUGAUAACCCACAAUCAAAGAAUCAACGAUAUGAUAAGAGAGACUUUGUUGCUAGGAAGCACGGUAAAGAAAGAGAACCAUGGGUUCAGAAACCCGUGCCUUUUCCUCCUAAACCAUCCAAGAAAAAGGAUGAUGAGGAUUUUGAGUGCUUUACUGAAAUGAUUAGACCUAUCUUUUUGCGUAUGCGUUUGACUGAUAUGCUUAAAAUGAAUCCUUAUGCUAAGUAUAUGAAAGAUAUUGUUACAAAUAAAAGAAAGAUACCGGAAGCUGAAAUUUCUACCAUGCUCACCAAUUAUAAUUUUAAAGGUGGAAUACCGAAGAAACUUGGAGAUCUCGGAGUACCAACUAUACCAUGCUCCAUUAAAGGAAACUAUAUAAAAACUGCUUUAUGUGAUCUUGGAGCCGGUGUUAGUUUUAUGCCUCUCUCUUUAUAUCGUAGACUUGAUUUGAAUAAGUUGACACCUACUGAAAUAUCUUUCCAAAUGGCCGAUAAAUCAACUGCUAUACCUGUCGGUAUUUGUGAGGAUGUGCCUAUUGGGGUUGCAAAUGUUACUAUUUUAACGAACUUUGUUAUUCUCGUUAUUCCCGAGGACGAUAGUAUGUCGAUAUCCUUGGUAGACCCUUUUUGAAUACUGCAGGGGCUGUUAUUGAUUGCAACAAAGGCAAUGUCACUUUUCAUGUUAAUUGUAACGAGCAUACGGUAGACUUUCCGAGGAAACAACCUCAAGUCCAUAGUAUCAAUUCUAUUGGAAAAUUUUCAAUGAUUAUUAUUGGAGGUUUUGAAUUUUCUCUUCCUACUGUCAAGAAGAAAUAUGAUAUUCUUAUUGUUGGGGAUGUGCAUAUCCCCGUUGAGGUAACUUAGUGUUAUUCGAAAAUUCUCCGGUUUCAUGUUAUUCGGAAAGAGUUUGUUAACAAGACUUGAUCAACCUUGUUAGUGGAUUCCUUUUGAUGAGCAUGAGAUGGAUGAAGUUAGAAAGCACAACUCUCUGUACCCUCCUUUUACUUUCUGUUAUUUGGAUUAAAUAAAGCAAAAAUAGUAUUUUCUGUCUGUUUUCUGAAUUAUCCUUGCAAUAAAAAAUACCCUGAAAAUAAAAGUUCUCCAAAUGUCCUGAAAAUGAAAUAUGAUUUUUUGUAGAAUAUUUAAGUAUAUCUGGCACUGAGAACACACCAGGGGGAGCCACCACCUGGCCACGAUGGUCCAGGGCGCGCCCCCUGCCUCGUGGACCCUACGUGGCCCCCCUCCACUUAUUCUUGCACCCACACACUCCGUCUUCCUCCAGAAAAAAUCAUCCACCAGCUCAAACCCGAGUUCUAGCUCAUCUUGCUGCCAUUUUCGAUCUCCUUGCUCAAAGCUCCAUUCACAAAACUGUUUGGGAAGAUUGUUCUUUGGUAUGUGACUCCUCCAAUGGUCCAAUUAGUUUUUGUUCUAGUGCUUUAUUUAUUGUAAUUUUUGCUGCUUAGGUGACCUUGUUCUUGUGCUUGCAUGUCAAUUUAUAUGGUCAAAAGUAGUUUUAAUGCAUGAUAUGGCCUCUAGGCACUUGUGGGAGUAGUUGCUAUCAAUCUUGUUGAGUUUGGUUCACUUUUAUUUUGAGUCACUAAAAAUUUCAGAAAUUUUCAAUGGGAGAAAAUGUUGAAGAGAUUAUUGAGAGGCUCUUCGAGCCGAAGCUCGAAGGAUAAGCAAAGUGAAGAGAAUAAGAACCCCAAAUAUAAUCUUCCUCGCACCGCGGAGGUUCGGCCGUGUGAAUGGCCUUGUGAUGAGUUCUUGAGAGCCGCCGGAAUUUAUGACGAUUUUUAUUACUUGGCUGAGAAUGCAGGCCUCACCGACUUCCUCCACGACCAGCUCGAAUAGUAUCUCCUACUCACUAAUAUUUUUGUGCAAAAUUAUCAUUUCCAUGCUAGGAGAUCACCACCUUCAGUGGAUUUUUAUUUAUAUGAUGAGUUUAAGGAGAUGUCACUCUAUGAUUUUUGUGGGGUUUGCAAGUUGCCUUUUGAGGGCAGCGUCGAGGAACCACAUCCUAGGGAUGUGGCAGAAUUUAUUGCUAUGAUUGCUGUAGGGGAAACGAGAAAAGUGUCCGAUGCAAGAACUACUAGCAUACAUUUUCCUGUUCUACGUUACUAUGCAAUAUUUGCUAGUAGAUGUUUAAUUGGCCGCUGGAACAUUGGGGGCCUCAGUGCUCCUGACCUCGCCAUUUUGCGCCAUGCUUUACUCCGUGACAGAACUUUCAGUUUAGCUGCUAUGGUUGCUAAACGGUUGAGUCUAAACCGUACAAAGGGCCCCAUUUCUGGAGGUAUCUUUGCUUCGCGUCUUGCUAAAUAUUUUGAGAUACCUAUUAGACACUAUGAGAAAGAAGAAAAGGUGCAGCCCCCUAUUUUCUUAGACUAUAAAAGUAUGGUAGCACAUGAUUUUAUUUGCAAUGAUAAGGAGAAGAGACUCAUUUAUAACCUGGUAUUCAGUGAAAAGACUUGUCAGAUUAUUACCCUGUCUGCACCUUCUUUGUUUAACAUUCAUUCAGGCACAUACAUCAUCCUGCCCGAUGACAUUUAUGCAUAUUGGGAGCGAACACGAUCCCCAGAGCCCGAGCCAGAGCCAUCUCCUGACCCUUAUCGGCAGUCUGUUUAUCAGUGGGAUCCGGAGGAGAUCGCCAACCAGUGGCACCCAGAGGACACUCCUUCGUACACCGGAGAGAGCAGCUUUGAUCCAUGGGCAUAGGCCAACUUAGGCCAAAAGCCUAAGCUUGAGGGAGUAUGUAUUUCUCACCGACAUUACAUUCAUGUUCACACACUCAUUAUAGUUGUCGGUGCUCAUACUUUUUCAUUGUACUAUCCAUGCUAGUUUAUUUUCUUUUCUAGUUUUCUUCUUGUGUGUUUGAAAAACCUUAAGAAAAGAUAAAUAGUUGUAGCUUUUAGCUAGUUUACUUUCCAUGCCUGUAGUAGUAAUUAAAAGAAAACCCAAAAAUAUUUCUCGUUCUUCUUUUGCUUGUUGGGAGCUUUCCCGUGAAAAUAGUUUUAUUUCCUUUCUUUUCUUUGGGGGUCGAGAGGAGAAGACCUUGAUGAAAAUGUUGAAGUGGCUCUUAUAUGCAUUAUUGUUGAUUUAACAAAGAGCCCAUGUUACCUUGUCUUCUCCUGUGUAUUAAAUGCUUGCAGAUUCCAGCUUAGUCCAAUGCACGUGCACUAUUAUUAUUAUCCACACCGUUCGGUCAUGCAGGUGAAAGGCAAUAAUGACAAUAUAUGAUGGACUGAUUGAGAUGAGAGAAGCUAGUAUGAACUCGACCUAUCUUGUUUUUGUAAAUAUGAUUAGUUCAUUGUUCCUGAUUCAGCCUAUUAUGAAUGAAACAUGUUUGCAAUGACAAUUAGUGAUUAUAGUUGCUUAUGCCAUGCUUAAUUAGCUAGGAGUUUAUAAUGGUUUACCUUGCGUGCCAACAUGCUAUUAAAAUGGCUGUGAUGUGGUAUGAUAAGGUGGUAUCCUCCUUUGAACGAUUCGAGUAGCUUGACUUGGCACAUGUUCACACAUGUAGUUGAAACAAAAUCAACAUAGCCUCCAUGAUAUUUAUGUUCAUGGUGGAUUAUAUCCUACUCAUGCUUGCACUCAGUGUUGAUUAAUUUUAAUGCAUGUUCAUGACUGUUGUCGCUCUCUAGCUGGUCGCUUCCCAGUCUCUUUCUAGCCUUCACUUGUACUAAGCGGGAAUACUGCUUGUGCAUCCACUUCCAUAAACCCCAAAGUUAUUCCAUAUGAGUCCACCAUACCUUCCUAUAUGCGGUAUCUACCUGCCGUUCCAAGUAAAUUUGUAUGUGCCAAACUCUAAACCUUCAGAUGAAAUUCUGUUUUGUAUGCUCGAAUAGCUCAUGUAUCAACUAGGGCCGUCUGUAUCUUCCAUGCUAGGUGGGUUAUUCUCACGAGGAGUGGACUCCGCUCCUCACUCACGAGAAAAUGGCCGGUCACCAGGAUGCCCAGUCCCAUGCUCAAAUCAAAAUAAUUACAAACAGAACUCCCCCAGGACUGUUGUUAGUUGGAGGCACCCGUUGUUUCGCGCAAGCCAUGGAUUGAUGCUUGUUGGUGGUGGGGGAGUAUAAACUUUACCAUUCUGCUUGGGAACCGCCUAUAAUGUGUGUAUCAUGGAAGAUAUCGAGAUCUCUCGGUUGUUAUGUUGACAAUGAAAGUAUACCACUCCAAAUAUUAUUUAUCUCUGUUUCAAAAAUCGAGCUCUGGCACCUCUACAAAUCCUUGCUUCCCUCUGUGAAGGGCCUAUCUAUUUACUUUUAUGUUGAGUCAUCAUCCUCUUAUUAAAAAGCACCAGUUGGAGAGCACUAUUGUCAUUUGCAUGCAUUACUAUUAGUUUGCAUUGAGUAUGACUAUGACUGGAUCUCUUACCAUGAAUUACAAUGUUUAGUCAGUCCUUGAUCUUGAGAGGUGCUCUGCAUUUUUGUUUUGCGGUCUCAGAAAGGGCUAGCGAGAUACCAUCUUGUCAUAUCAUAUUAUGAUUGUUUUGAGAAAGUGUUGUCAUCCCAGAUUUAUUAUUAUUGCUUGCUAGCUGAUUAUGCCAUUGAUAUGAGUAAACAUGAGACCUAAGUGUUAUUGUGAAUAUGGUUAGUUCAUAAUCUUUGCUGAAAACUUGAAUGUUGGCUUUACAUAUUUACAACAACAAGAGCAAACAGAGUUUGUAAAAGUUUUUCUAUAUCACUUUCAGUUUAUCAGCUGAAUUGCUUGAGGACAAGCAAAUGUUUAAGCUUGGGGGAGUUGAUACGUCUCCAAUGUAUCUACUUUUCCAAACACUUUUUCCCUUGUUUUGGACUCUAACUUGCAUGCUUUGAAUGGAACUAACCCAGACUGACGCUGUUUUCAGCAUAAUUGCCAUGGUGUUAUUUUUGUGCAGAAAUAAAAGUUCUCGGAAUGACCUCACGGAGAAUAUUUUUGGAAUUAAUAAUAAAUAUUGGCGAAAGAAUCAACGCCAGGCGGCCCACACCCUGUCCACGAGGGUGGGGGCGCGCCCCCUGCCUCGUGGGUCCCCUGAGGCUCCACCGACCUCAACUCCAACUCUAUAUAUUCACGUUCGGGGAGAAAAAAAUCAGAGAGAAGGAUUCAUCGCGUUUUAGGAUACGGAGCCGCCGCCAAGCCCUAAUCUCUCUCGGGAGGGCUGAUCUGGAGUCCGUUCGGGGCUCCAGAGAGGGGAAUCUGUCGCCAUCGUCAUCAUCAACCUUCCUCCAUCACCAAUUUCAUGAUGCUCACCGCCGUGCGUGAGUAAUUCCAUCAUAGGCUUGCUGGACGGUGAUGGGUUGGAUGAGAUUUACCAUCUAUCGAGUUAGUUUUGUUAGGGUUUGAUCCCUAGUAUCCAUUAUGUUCUGAGAUUUGUGUUUCUAUGACUUUGCUAUGCUUAAUGCUUGUCACUAGGGCCCGAGUGCCAUGAUUUCAGAUCUGAACCUAUUAUGUUUUCAUGAAUAUAUGUGAGUUCUUGAUCCUAUCUUGCAAGUUAAUAGUCACCUACUAUGUGUUAUGAUCCGGCAACCCCAUAGUGACAAUAAUCGGGACCACUCCCGGUGAUGACCGUAGUUUGAGGAGUUCAUGUAUUCACUAAGUUUUAAUGCUUUGGUCCGGUACUCUAUUAAAAUUAGGCCUCCAAUAGGACCCCGCUGCCACGGGAGGGUAGGACAAAAGAUGUCAUGCAAGUUCUUUUCCAUAAGCACGUAUGACUAUAUUCGGAAUACAUGCCUACAUUACAUUGAUGAACUGGAGCUAGUUCUGUGUCACCCUAUGUUAUAACUGUUGCAUGAGGAAUCGCAUCCGACAUAAUUAUCCAUCACUGAUCCAAUGCUUACGAGCUUUUCAUAUAUUGAUCUUUGCUUAGUUACUUUACUGUUGCCACUGUUACAAUUACUACAAAACUACUAGUGUUACUUUUGCCACCGUUACCGUUACUUCCAUACUACUGUGCUACUAAAUACUUUGCUGCAGAUAUUAAGUCUUACAGGUGUGCUUGAAUUGACAACUCAACUAGUAAUACUUGAGAAUAUUCUUUGGCUCCCCUUGUCUCGAAUCAAUAAAUUUGGGUUGAAUACUCAACCCUCAAAAACUGUUGCGAUCCCCUAUACUUGUGGGUUAUCAAGACUAUUUUCUGGCGCCGUUGCCGGGGAGCAUAGCUGUAACAUCCCAAAUUUUCAAUUUGGAAUGUUAUAAUUAGGUCAUCCUAUGCAUAUCAUAUUUUAUUUGGAUUUUGGUUUUGAUCCUAGAAAUUCUAAGCAACUCAAGGACCCACGGAGAGAGUUGGGGAUUUCGUUUAUUUUCAUAUUUGAAUUUUCCUCAAAUAUUGAAAAGAGGAUCAUUUUGGUUUUAAUUAUUUUUCUCUCCGAAAUAUUUCAAUAUAAAAAUAAAUGAGAUGAGAUAAUAUGACUUCUCAAAAGAAAUAUUGGAGGAAAAAUGUUAAAAUCAAAUAAAUAAUUUUAUUUGGAUUUUAUUGCUAUUUUAUUUGAAUUAGAAAAAUAUGCAUUUUUUAAAAAAUUGCAUUUUAGGCCAAGAAAAUGUUCACUUUGUCCUAAAUAUUUUAUUUAGACGGUGAAAAUUAUUUUUGGCAUUUUUAGAAUUUUUUUAUAUUUAUUUAGGAUUUUUGUUUCGGCGGAAUUUUAUUAAAAAAAUAAAACUUCCUGGACCGAACUGGGCCAGCGGCCCAGCCGGCCCAGCACCGCGUCGCCCCCGACCCCGAGCCAGAGACCAACUCCCGCACGCCGCCGUCGCCACCUCGGACACCGCCGCCGCCUUGCCCCCUCCCCAAGCCACCCCUCCCCCCUCGACCCCUUUAAAAGCUGCCGUCCCGCC
This 61869-nucleotide long non-coding RNA is filed under the name Triticum aestivum (bread wheat). RNAcentral describes it as "long non-coding RNA (TAES_LNC024139)". The record is from RNAcentral. Lineage: Eukaryota; Viridiplantae; Streptophyta; Magnoliopsida; Poales; Poaceae.